CAGCAUUUAACCAUAUCUCUUCUAAUUGCUUAAUUUUCCAUUCAUCUUAUAUAAAGAGUGUCUUAGCAGCUUUUUGUUCUUCAUUCGGUAAAUAGGAUCUAAUUAGGGUUUCUUUUUUUUUUUUUUUGCAUAAAUGGGCAAAUCCAACUUGUCUGCAACCCUAGCUAUAUAGCUUAAUUAUAUAUAUUUUUAAUAUUUAUUCAUUUCAUCAUCUUGUUGGACCUCAUAUAUAUAUGUUGAUGGAUUGCGAAAAGGCUAGUGGUGGGAAGAAAAAUCUAAUCACCAAGACAUGGCAGCGUUGUCGAUCCAUCCCGGCCAGCCGAGGCAGAUCUUUCGCAACACUUCCAACUUCCAAGCCUUCCCAGAUCUCUCUCAACAAAAGAGAGCAAAACAAAAACAAACUGCAAAAUGGCGACCCGACCCGACGCAUACGGGUCAUGCAGUCCGUUUAGUCCGACCCGACGCUCGUACAGAAAUGGCGAUACGGGUUUUGGUUCAUAUGGUCUUCUAACUCCAUCUCGGCUGAUUAGAAUGAAUUAGUGUAAUGUCUGGAUACUUGUCCAACAAGAACAAGACAGUUAGUCAUAUAUGUGUACUCGGCUGUUAGUUGUAUAAUACAACUUGUAAUUAGUAAUGCAUGCAGCUUGUAACAUAAUGCAAUAUCGGUAGAUAUAUUAAUCAUAAACAUGUUGGUUCUAUUUUAUUUUUAAUAUAGUGCAAAAUUUAUUACCAAAAAUCUUUACAAAACCACAGCAUUCUAAUUUCCGACAGUCUAAUUUUGACAGAAUGCAACCGAAAUUAAAUUUCUGAAUUUCAUUUAAAAACUGAAAAUUUGGACGAAAAGUUAAGAUGACUGCCCAAAUUUGCUAAAAUUUGAACUUGACGACAGUAUAUUGUUGAACUAACUGACUCUACAAACAAUUUUUAAAAUUUGAAUUUUGACUGACUAUCUUUGCUAUCAAAAUUAAAUAUUUUAAAAUUCGACUGACUAUCUUUACUAUCAAAAUUAAAUAUAAUUUUGACAGAUUAAAUUCGACAAGAACCAGCUUCUUCGAUAUUAUGCGGUCGAAAAAAUUAAUUUGAUGAUUAUUUUCGACAGCUGAUAAUUUCAACAAUAUUCCGUUAUAAUUAACAAUAUAAUGUCAUAUUACAAUAAAUAAAUUAUCAUAACAUCAAUUACGAUAAUUAUUUUCAACCACCAACUAAUAGUACUCGAUGAAAAUCAGCUAUUAUGAACCACAAAUGUAGAGCAUAAUUAUUUUCGAUAAGAAGCAUAUAAUAGAAGCUCAUCUUUACACCUCGAACAGACUUGUUAGAGGUCGAUGCACUGGUCAGAAGAAGAUCUCCCUUGUUUCACGGACAAACCUAAACAUUUAAUUCUAGGUAUAGACUAGAAGCUCAUCUGAUCGGUCUGUAUUCUCUAGAAAACAUGGAGCAUUCACGCUAAUACCAAUUUUGGUCGUUUUAGUCUUUCAUAAUCAUUAUAGGAGAUGGUAUAGCAUAGAGAUAAACGAAUUUUGGUUGAGGACCCUAUAACCAAAAUGAAUUGGUAAAUCAUUUAAAUCAACUGAAUAGCCCCGGUCCUUUAUAUCGAUAUAAAGCCACACUUGAAACUUAAGAAGAGGGGUUCAAACACAUUCAAGAAAAUGAGGAGUACAAGUUAUUACCAUUUCUUCUUCGCCCCCUCCUUGUAAAAAAUACGACACGAAUAUACCCUUCUUGAGAUUUUAAAAAAGUAACUUCGAUUAAUGCAGUUUUGAAAUGUGAUAAGUAUAAAUUAUGAUUAUGGCAUAAUCCAGGCUUGAAUAAUUUGCAUUAAUACGAUGUUUAAGGAGUAAUAAAAUAUAACUAUUGACAUGUAAUGUUAUGACAUAUACGAAAUGCCAGACUCAUCUAAUUAAUUUAACAUUAUCCACUUGCCAUAUAAUUUAAACACGAGGCAUCAAUUGUUGGUGUUUGAUAAACAGGUGGCCGACGAAUUUAUCUUAAGUAUUUGGCAAACACACACGUACCACUUAUGUAUUCAAAAUAUUUGUUUAGGUAGUUUGAUUUAUUAUAAUAAUAAAGAUUAUUUAUGAAUAAAUUAUGAUCAUAAGUAAUUUUUAUCAAAAAAUUAUUAAAAAUUAAGUAAAUAAAAAAAUAUCUCAAAUUAACAUCUAGUUUUAAAUCAGUUUUGAUUUAUUUCUGAUUUGAAACCCGUUUCGAUUUAUUAUAUAAACAAACAUUCUUAAAAUUGAAACAGUUUUGAGUCUCAGCUUAAGUCGGUUUUAAUUGUCCAUCCAAAAGAUUCUUAUCAUCGUGCUUAUAUUAAUUAACAAUAGCAAGCUGUGUACUUCCCUUCAAUUAUAAGCUAUUUGUGUAUACUAGUUGCUGAACAUAAUGCUCGACAUAAUGGAUUCAUCCUCAAGCCAACUUUAACCCUAAUCUUGAUAUUGGUGGUGUUCGGCCCGGCUUCUAGAUUUACAAAUUAAAAACAGUUAUUCGUACCGAUAAAAAGUGAAGAAGUACAAAGUUGCAAAUAUUUUAAUCACUUAUAUGUUUUAACUUGUUUUUAAUUUCUACUUCACUUUUUUGCUUUAAACACUAAACACUUAUUUUAAACUUCACCGAACAGUUCCGUUAUUUUCUCAGGCUUUUGCUGUAUCAUCUUCAUGAUUCCCGUGUAUUGGUUGAUGAACUAAUGCUCGGGCGGAAUCACAGAUAUUCAACAUAGAACUUGUGUACACAAAUGUUGUGUUUGGUUGGGGUGAAUGAUUCCGGAAGGAAUGGAAUGAAAAAUGAACUAUAUUAUGGGCAAUUGUUAACAAAUUUGAUCCGAUACUCCAUUCCAUUCCUUACAUUAUGUGCUAGAGAUCAUACCUUCAAUUUGGGAUGGAAUGCUCCAUUCUCUCCUACCCCCAAUUUCUUCUCAAAUCUCAUCAUAGCAAUUUUGCAUUCACUUAAAUUUAUUCUAAAAUUUCCCUCCUAUCUCUAUUAGUUCCAAGUAAUUUUACUCAUUCCAUUCCAUUCCAUCCAUUCUCCCCAACCAAACACAACAAAAGCGUACAAUAGGGAAACUACGGUUGCGUCACUGCGUUCAACUCUAAAUUAUACAUGCACGUGACAUAUCAAUAAAAUGCAUGGUUUUUAAAACAAGAACUUUAACUACAAUUUUUCAACUAAAAUUAAAAGCAGAAUUGGGCGUUAGUUUUAGACUAGUUGCUACUUGCUGGCAGUUGUAUGUUUACUUUCUGUUUACAAUCUUAUGGACCAUCCGAUCUGUAACUAAGAUUGCCUUUUAUAUAAAAUUUUUAUAAUUUGUGGAUUGGUCAAUAUAUUUUCUUUUACACAAAACUUUUUUAUGCCUAAUUGUUUGGUAACAAUUAUUCCUCCACACCUUAUUUUUCCACGCUGCAUUUUAAGCGAUAUUCGAUUUUUUGAUAUAUAAAUGUCAAAGUAUACACAAUAUAAGGAUAAUACCUGACAAAGUUCUUAAUUCUUAUGUUAGGAGCAAGAUGGUAAACCUUUUUUCAUGGCUUGUGGCUUAUAAACAGUUUAUUUUAUUCCUACUAUUUAUGUAAAGAAACUGUAAGUUAACUUUCCAUUUAUGAGGUAGAAUUUGAAAUAAUAAACACUUCAUUUAAUUAAGUAUCUUACAAAUACUGUAAUAAUUUUGUAGAAGACCUUUUCUAUGUCUUAUAUUAUUAUUUACUAAAAAGUUAUAACCCCGUUCUGACUAUACUUUAUUUUUGAUACACAUGAAAAACGAUAGGACCUGACAGUUUCUCACAAAAUAUAGUUUAAUAAAUUAAUUUUUUUUCUUUCUCAAUAAAAAUUUAUUGUUUAAACUUUUAUGCACAACAUACACAUUUUUUAAGAAAAUGGUGAACUCCAUUUUAAUGUACAUUCGAAAUUCGUGUCAAGAAAAAUGUAAAAAUCAGAGGGACCCAUGGAGUAUAUAUAUAUUUUUUCAAUAUUCUUAAAUAUAAAUAUGUAUAAAGUCGCCGGGCAUGGUCGCAUGGAGCUAGCUUUACUUUUCAACUAACAAAUCCAGCUGAAUGCAGAUUAGAAGUAGUGGUCCAUUACGUGUUUGUCGUUAUAUAGAGCCCUUUAGUUUUUAAUGCCUUAGACGAAUACGAACACUUUGGCGUCGUUGACAUAGUAAUCCAUCAUUCGAAUCAGGCCGGGGGAGGGAGUAUCUGGCUAGAAUGGAUUAGGCUAUACAUAUAUAUGCUCCAUCUGUCCGCAUGUCCCUCUCAUUUUUUUACAGUUUUUUUACACUACUCGACACGCAUUUUAAGAAGCAUAUACAACAUAGUUUUAUACUUUAUUUUUUUAUUUUUUUUAUAAAAGUUUAAACAUCAAAUUCUUAUUUAGAAGUGAAAAAAAAUUCAAAAUAAUUUCUCAAACUACAUUAUAUGAGGGCAUUAGAAUGCGUGUCGAGCCCCGUUCACACAUAAACAAAUUAGGGUGAUGGAGGGAGUAUAAAUGUAACCAUUUUACAUUUUACUAAUCAUCAGCUCUCUCAAAUACAUCAUCUCUUAAAUAUCUUUUCCACUUUGUUCUUUAAACAACAAUAUAGUCUAGCUAGGGUUUGUUUCCGUGGGUAAACUGCCGUAAACCUAGAGCAACACUAUCAAACCCUAUAUAGAGCAACACUAUCAAACACUCGACCUUAGGAAUAUUAUUAUUAUUUAUAUUCAUUUCUAUCAUCUUAAUUCUUUUCUAUCUCAACCAUAUACGUACAUGGAGUGGGAAAAGUUGAGCAAUGUUAAGAAAAAUCUAAUCACCAGAACAUGGCAGCGUUGUCGAUCCAUCCCGAGAAGACGGAAAUCUUUCGCACCACUUUCAAUUCUUCCCAGAUCUCUAUCAUGCAAAGAGAGCAAAACAAACUGCAAAAUGGCUCCUCGUGGUUGCUUCUUCGUCUACGUCGGACCGGAGAAGCAGAGAUUCGUAAUCAAGACCGAGUACGUGAAUCAUCCUUUAUUCAAAAUUUUGCUCGAAGAGGCCGAAACCGAAUACGGUUUUAUGAGCGACGGUCCUAUCUUGCUUCCAUGUGAUGUGAAUCUUUUUUACAAAGUCUUAGCAGAGAUGGAUAGUGGUAAAUGCGAGAAUCAAGUUUACAUGAGGUCGAAAUCAUGUGGCCUUGCAUACGGACUAUGUAGUCCGUUCAGUCCGACCCGACGAUCGUAUAAGAAUGGCGGUAUGGGGAAGGAAUUUGGUUCAUAUGGCCUGCUUACUCCAUCUCGGCUCAUUAGAAUGAACUAGCUAGUAAGUGUCUGGAUCCUUGUCCAAAAAGAACAAGACAGAUUGGUCAUAGGUAUGUAUUUUGUUAAUUAUUUAGAAAUCUUCGCGGCUUGUUUGUAUAUAUCCCACCAUACAUAAUCUAUUGUUGCAUAAAUCAAUAAUACAGUUCAAGUUUGUCUUUCUACUGUCAAUUAUAAUUGUUGCAGUUUAAAUAAAAUGACAUCCGAAACCUAGUCAUACAAAGUAUCAUUUUCUUCGGCGACAAUGCCGAUAAAAUAUUGAAAUAUAGACAUAUAAUGUAAAAUAUUUUGAAAGAUAUCCACCUGUUUCCUCAGAUAGAUUUAGUGAUACAUAGAGAUUGUUAGUGUCAUAGCUAGUAGUCACCAUUUUUAAUCACGGUACAGCUCAGAGGACCAUCUGACCGGCCUGUAUUCUCCAGAAGACAUGAAGUAUUAAUGCUAAUAUAUACCACUUUUCGUUUUUUCCAGCAAGUCUUUCGGAACCUGUAUAAUUAGAUCAGUUUAUGAUCAUGAUGAUGGAUAUUGGUAGAGGAAAGCGAUAAAAUAAUUAAAGCACAAUUGCUAAACUACUUCUCUCACUGCCAGACACCGAUUCUAAGUACUUCCAAGGCAACCUGCAUCAAACUGUGAUCAAAUGAGUUCAAUCGUUCAAUUUUAUUUAGGGGCCUACUUUCUGUAGAAAUUUUGAGAUACAUAAAAGGUACGCUAAUCAUGGUUUAUUUUACUUGCACUCUCAAAAUUCAAAAUUAGUAGGGUAUUGAUAUAGUGAUUAUGGUGGAGAGACUUGGAAGACCGAAAAGAAAAAGCACUUCAAACUGUGCUUUUCAUAUCGGUUGGGCUAUAUUUUCAUGAUCAUCAAAGAAAUAACAAAUAAUUGCACUCUCAUCAUGUGAAGCCGAGUAUCUCGCGGUAGCGGUGGCAGCAUGCCAAGCUUAUGUGGUUAAAUUACAAUUUGGACGAGUUAAAUCUUGUAAAGGACGAUCCGGUUACCAUAUUUAUAUAGAUAAUAAAUUUUCUAUUUCUCUCGUGAAAAAUCCGGUCUCACACAGUUUUAGCAAACACAUCGACAUAAAAUAUCAUUUCUUCACGAAAUAGUUAAUGAUAAAAUCAUGGAGCUAGUGCACUAUUGAACAUAAGAUAAUCUAGCCGAUAUUUUCACAUAACCGUUAAAGUCGAACGUGUUUCAGAAAUUAAAACAAAUUUUGCAAUGCAAAAUCCGAUUUGAGGGGAGUGUUAGAAUUCAAACCCUCGUAAGUAUAGUAGCAGUAUUGGUAAUAAUGCAUGGAAAUUAAUAGGCAUCCUAGAAUUAUGGAUUUAACAAUAUUGCAGCAGCAGCAUCUGGAUAAAAUAUAGGGGCUGAAUUUAAAGAUGAUGCGAAAUCAGAUACAACUGCAUACAUGUACAGCUACAAGAAAUUUGAAGCAUGAAAGUGAACACGUACGGAGCAUGCAUAUACUAGCAGAUUAGCAGUCAUCCAGGAUUAAAAGGCUCGGUUUUUAAAGAUAUAAGGUCUGGAGGCUGACAGUGAUUAGAUGCAGUAAACAUCAAAGGAGUAAAAUAAGGUAGGCUGAUGAUAACACCGUAAUAUCAUAAAUUAAUUAUUAGAUCAGCCCGAAGCUUUGGUACUAGAAAAAGAAUAAAAGCUCUGUGUUUGUAACAUUGUGUAAUAAUUAUAGUUAAAUUAUAAACCGAAAAUGAUUUUCCUUUUUUUUUAAGCCAUAUUAUUAAUAGAAAAACCAGCAUACAACAGACAGAAGAGCUACACUUGCUUGAAACUAGAACAGCUGAAAAUAACUACUCCUGAAACAAAGAGAAAAUGAUAAGGAAGUCCAUCACCAUUUCAAGAGAAAGGCUAUAAGUCCAUAAGACUAAUAUUGGAAUACCCGCUUCCAACCUUCACAAUAAAGUACCAAACACCCUUCAAAUUUGAUGAGCUUAUUCAAGAAACGAGUUGAUUUUAUCAUGAUACAACCAAGUCUGAUUUCUAAAUAAUUGAAUGAUAAGUCCUGUAGAAUAUAUUCCGUAGUAGAGAUAUAGUUAUCAUUACAAAUAAAAUUAUUUAAUUGAUCUCAAAAGACUUCUAAAAGUUUAAGGAAAAAUACAAAAUUCAUUUGACACCCGGAGAAUUAUAGUAUUCCCCAAUAUUUCAAAAUUUAACGAUAUAAAACAAUAUUAAGAGUUGAGCUAGCCAGAUAAAAAAAAAAAAUCAAUACACCAUUUCAAUAUCGUGUUAAAUUUUUCUGUAUAAUAAUUUUGGUUGUAUAUAUGAUUGAGGAUCACGCACUUUUCAUACAAGUGGUAUUGAAAUUCAAUCGCGUUUUUUGUAUGCGGGUAAGUCAUGAAAAUGGGGUCACUUGUUCAGUAACAAAAUCAACAAUUCGAUGAUUUUUAUUAUGUACAUGUGAGCUAAAUUGGAUCCAAAUAUAAAAGAAUAAAUUAUAUACAUGAUUGGUGGUGGCUAUAUAUUUUAUCAAAUUUCAAAAAAUGAUUAAAAUUUCAAAUUAAUAAAUUAAUGGCCGGAUCCAUUUUCUAAUAAUAGUUCCUACUAAGUUGUAACAUGAGAAUGACUCAUUAUUUUAAAAGUCUAAAAUAAAAUUUGUCCAUCCUUUAAUUAAAAAAUGAGAUACAUAAAAAACUAUCAUUAUUUUAAAAUAUGUAAAAACCAAAAUCGAUCGUUAAUAUGUAAAUUUGAAAAUUUAACUAGUUCAGAAAUUCGACAUGAAAAACGGCUCAAGAAAAAAUUCUGUGGGAGGCAUUUGCGGAAUGAGGAUCUCCGACCAUCAAAGUCUUUAGCUAAAAAUUUAAUUGGCAUAUUAAUUAAAAACGAUAAAUAUAAUCAUUUUUGUUAAAAAUUCACACUCCAAUCAUACUCAUCCCGUGCCUAUAAUUAUAUAUAGCUAACCUCUUAAUAAUCAACCUCUUAUGAAAGGCUAUAUUAGAGCAUCUCCAACCAUGAGAAGCCCUUAGCUAAAAGUCUAAGUGUCUUACCAAAAUUAAAAAUUAUAGCUAAUACCCACAAAAAACAGCACUCCAACCAUAGCAAGCCCUUGUCUAUAAUUAUAGUCAUCCCCUAUGGAUGACUAUAUAUAUUUGUCGAACCACUACAGAUCUGUAGUGAAUUCCACGUCAUCUCUCGCAAUUUAUUUUCCACCUUUCCGCCGAUUACAUAUUAUUUAUUACUAUAUUAAACUGAUAUAUUUUAUUAAUAACAUAUUAUUUUUAAAUUAUAGACAACCAAUAUAGCUAAUACCAUCGAAACAGAUGUCUUAGAGCAUCUUCAACCAUGAGAAGCCCUUAGCUAAAAGUCUAGGUGGCAUUCCAAAAUAAAAAAAUUUAGCCAAUGCCCAAAAAAACACCACUCCAACCAUAGCAAGCCCUUGUCUAUAAUUAUAGUCAUCCUCCUAUGGAUGACUAUAUUUGUCGAAUCACUACAGAUCUGUAGUAAAUUCCACGUCAUCUCCCGCAAUUUAUUUUCCUCCUUCCCGUGGAUUACAUAUAAAUUAUUAUCAUAUUAAAAUGAUAUAUUCUAUUUAUAACAAUCUAAAUAUUAAUAAUACACUAUUUUUAAAUUAUAGCCAACCAAUAUAGCCAAUACCAUUGAAGCAUAAUGUCUUACAGGCUCAGCAAAUUUUACAUUAUGUCUUACAGGUCCAAUUUAGCCAACGAUUAUAGCCAACGCCAUUGGAGAUGCUCUUACAUGUUUAGUAAGUUUUACAUAAUGCCUUACAGGUCUAAUUUAGUCAACCAUUAUAGCUAACCAUUAUAGCUAACCUCACUGAUUAUAGUUUGCUUGACCAAGUAUAAUAUGUGGGAUAUAUUUGAUCCAGAAAAUAUAAUUUAGUAUGAUGUGGUAUAAAUUUCAUCUAAGAAAUAUAAUUAUUGGCUACAUUGCAUUGAAAGUUGAAAUAAGACAACUAAUUUAAAACAAUUUUUAGUUAUCAAAAGUGGAAAUAUAAUAUGAAACAGAGGGAGUAACCGCCAAAUAUGUGCUCUUGGUUUCAAAAUCAAUGAUUUCGAUUUUCGUCAGCUUGCAUUAAACAUGUCUUUAAGCUUUGGCCGGUUAGCUGAACUCUAUUAAUUUCAAUCUCUACAGUUUCUUUUUUAUCACAUUCCUCAUUCGUAUUACUUACUCCCUCCGUCCCAAUGAAUAAUAUAUAUUGGGAUUGGACACUCUCCACCAAAAAAAAGUGUAAGAAAUGAGUAAAGUUAGAUGAAAAGUGGUUGAAUUGGUGGGUCCUACUUAUUUUUAAUACUCCCUCCGUCUCAAUUUAUAGGUCCAUUUUGGAAUAAAUACACAUAUUAAGGAAAGAAGUUGGUUAGAUAGAAUCUUAUCUCAUUUAUCAUUAAUUAGUGCAUUGAUAAGUGAGAAUAUAGUUGAGUUUCAAGAAAAUCACGAUAAAUAUAGGGAUUUGGUGCAUUGAGAAAUGAGAAUAAUGUUGAGUUUCAAAAAAAUCACAUUUAAUAUGUAGAUAAAUUUGUAUUGAAAGGGCCCGCAAGGGUUGGUUCAGCUGGUUAAAGAGGGGACAAGUAUCCUCUUGAUCACAGGUUCGACUCCCGAAGGGAGCAGAAUUGAUGAUUAUGCGCUCGGGGGUUUACCCAGUGCGCACCCGAAGGGUAGCACCCGAAGGGUAGCGGCUGCGGGUUCCUACGUGGAAAAAAAAUAACUGUAUACAAUUGACCGGACGGAGGGAGUACAACAUGUUUUAUCAAUUAUACUAAUCGACCAAGUAUAAAUACAUGAAGAUGGCGUAUCAAGGCUCGAAUAAUGUCCACUAAUUAUUCUAACGUUAUCCACUUGCAUGCUUGUUUCAUAAAAGCAUACGUCAUUUAAAUAUACAACACGACUACACGAGCCAUCGAUGGUCGAUGUCAACUAAUGGCAUUAAAACAGGUGGUCGACGAAUUCGUCGAAAGUGUGUGAAAUACACACGUAGCACACGAACGUGAUUAUAAUAUUUGGGCUAAACCAAGUGAGACAUGCCAUUGCAUAUAUUUUCUCAGGUAUAUAUAUAUAGGCCAACAUUCCACAGAGGGACUCCUUAUAUGGAGUUACAUAGUGCAUCAUUAUAAAUCAUCAAUUUUAUUAUAAAUUCUGUUAUAGAAUACAUAUAAAACGUGAUUCUAAUAUAAAAUACUAUAAAAUAAAUCUAUUUUAAGUGAUUUAACACUUAAAAUUUGAUUAAAAAAAAUAUAUUUUCGAAACUGAUUCUACAACAGAAUAAUUCUGGAUGAUUAUUAUUCUGUUAUAGAAUCAUGUUGAGAUAUUGCAUAAUUUUAGAUGAUCUUUGGAAUAAAAAAAUUGUAUAACUUCGUUUUCGGUUUAAUAAUCAAAAUUUGCAAUUAUAUUUCAUAAAAAAUAUAAUAGAAUAUAUAUUAUGUAUAUAUUUAUAAUGGUGUGCUACGUAACUCCAUAUAAGAGGGUAUGCUAUGGAGUGCUACCCAUAUAGGAGUAUAUAAUAUUGAUUUAAAUAAUAAAUCAAUUAUAUACCUUGCUCAUCUGUGAUUAGGGAGUGCCUGCAGACUAAUAAACGGAAAGGAGAGGCGGUAGAAAAUUUUAUAAUCCCUCCCUCAGUUCCCAUAUAAUAAACUUUGUGUACGUAAUUAUUUUCUAAAUUUAUUUUAAUAAAAAUAUAAAUGUUAAACUCUUAGUCAGAAAAAAGAAAUUUCAAAAAGAAAGCGUAGAAGUUUGUUGUUUUAUUUUACCUCAAAUUAUGUUUAAAAAGUCAUCACAACAUCUAUAAUCUUGAAAUGGAGGGAGCAUGCAUAUUAUAUUAUAUUAUAUUUAAUUUGAAAAAUGAAAUUAUUAGGACAGAUUCCAAUAUUUAAAGAAUCCAAAUUAUAAAUUUAGCACUGGACCCUAAAUACAUAUUCCCUGCAUUAAUUUUAUAUCUCUAAUUUUUUUAAUGUAUUACAAUUUAUACAUCAUUAUUAAAGAUGAAUAAAAAAUACUUCGGCGUCGUUGACAUUGAAUAGCAUUAUUCGAACCAGCCCGGGGGAGGGAGUAUCUAUAAUGGUAUUAGGCUAUAUAUAUGUGCAACCUUCCACUUUGUUCUUUAAACAACAAUAUUUGAGUCUAGCUAGGGUUUCUUUGUAUUAGUAUCUUCAAAUUUUACUUAGGUUUUAUUGUUCAUUUGAUUAAUUUUCACUUGUUAGCAUUUCGCAUAUAUGGGCAAAUCCAACUCUUCUGCACCAUCAAUUCCCAUUGUAAGCUCUUCCAUGCUCAAUCUCGCAUACGACAGAGGCUGAAUUUAACGACAACUACCAAACCCUAGCUUGCAUUAUUUUCUUGUUUUUAUUCCAUCGUUUUUUUUUCUUCGAUUUGAUCCAUUUAUAGAUUCAUGGAGUGCGAAAAGGUGAACGGUGGUAGGAAAAAUCUCAUCACCAAAACAUGGCAGCGCUGUCGAUCCAUCCCGGCGAGCCGAGGCAGAUCUUUGGCAACACUUCCGAGCCUUCCCAGAUCUCUCUCAACAAAAGAGAGAAAAACCAACUGCAAAAUGGCUCCUCAUGGUUGUUUCUUCGUCUACGUAGGACCCGAAAAACAAAGAUUCGUGAUCAAGACCAAGUACGUGAAUCAUCCCUUAUUUAAAGUAUUGCUCGAAGAUGCAGAAAACGAAUACGGGUUUAUUAGCGACGGUCCUAUUUUGCUUCCAUGUGAUGUGAAUCUUUUUUACAAAGUCUUAGCAGAGAUGGAUGAUAGUAAAUGUGAGAAUGAAGAUUACAUGAGGUCCAAAUCGUGUGGCCUUGCAUACGGAUCCUAUAGUCCGUUUAAUCCGACCCGACGAUCGUAUAAAAAUGGCGUUAUGGGUAAGGGAUUUGGUUCUUAUGGCCUGCUCACUCCAUCUCGGCUCAUCAGAAUGAAUUAGUUAAAAUGUGUGGAUACUUGUCCAAGAAGAAGAAGACAGGUAGUUGGUUGUUUGCAUGUAUGUUGUUAAUUGGUUGUGUUUAAUUAGUAAUCUUAGUUAUAAUUUGUAAUUUUCAAUACAUACCGAAUGUUAAAACCAUCAAUAAUACAGUUCAAGUUUGUCUUUCGAACGUCACUAUUAAUUAGUUACACUGAAGCUGAACUGGAUAUGGACAUUUUUUUCCUUUCUUUUAUGACGACAAACCUCAAACUUUUCUAUUAUUUUUGAUAAGAUUUAAAAUCUAAUGUGUCGUAAAGAGAAGGUUUUUAUCUUCUUGGUAAGAUUCAAAAAUUUGACAUCACGUAGAAAGANNNNNNNNNNNNNAAGAGUGUGAGGAAAAUAAUUAGAUCAAGACACGGACAGUUGGGGAACAUUAAUAAUCACUCUCAUCGUCCCUUUUAUAUAUCCAUUUUUCAAUGAUCAAAUCGACAUUUGUUGACCAAAGAUUGAGGACAAUCAUUUUCUUAUUUUGAAAAAAUGAAAUUUAUAUUUUAAAAUAAAUUAUACAAUUAAUAUUAUAAUGAUAUAACUUUUUUAAUAUUUUUUCAAUAUUAUAUAAUAUAUACAAAGUUCAAUCAAUCAAAUUUGGAUCAAUUUGGUCAUUGAAAAUCAAAACCGGAUAACUAAAACAAGACGGAUGUUGUUACAAGGAAAUUUUAGCUACUGAGCUGGAUUCCUGGCUAAUGAAAGGAAGAAUUAAUCUGAAAAUGAUUAGUUGACAAAAUGAUAGUGGUUGGGACUUGGGAGAAGUUAGUAGUAUCUUAACCAAAUAUCUCUCAGGUGACGAAAUUAGAGUUGGAUCCCGCAACCAACUCGAAUGACCAAGUCAAGCCUAACACAAAUUUAUAUUCUUAUGUACACCAUGUCAACAAUAAUCUGGUUCAACUCAAGUUAGUAGGUGAUCUGUUUUUCUGUUUACUAAAUCCAAUUACCUCUUUCUCGAAAUGGUUUCUGAAGAUUUUGUUUUACUAACGAGUCAGUGUUUACUUGAUAUCCGUUAGCUAGAUGUAAAACUAAAACAUCGCCGAAUGAAAUAACAAAGUGCCUUAAUUCGUCCAUGAGAGAAAUUACAGUAUAAAUAUGUAUAACAUAUAUAUGAUGCUUGAUUAUAAUGAAGUGAUGCAGUAUCAGCCAGCAUUUCGAACACGAAAUGUUCUGAAUAAUUAGAUGUUCAUCGAUUCUUCGAAACGUUUCAUUGCAGAAGCUGGCAAGCCGAGAAGCACAUUGAUGCUUUUACGCGUAUCUCCGUGUGACAGAAACAAGAUCACUUCUUUCUCCGGCAAUGCAACAGGCCCUGAUAGAAUAGGCUCGCCCCACCCGAAAUCGGUUGUGUGAAAAGCCAGCCUAGACCAAGUAGUGAUCAGAAGAGUCGCGUCUAGAGAAGGCCUUGCUCUGGUCACUUCAAAAUAGUCGAUUGCUGAUUUCAUGUAGUUAUCUGUCACCAAAUUUACGGCCUCGUGGACUAGCUUGACAGUGAACGACAACGGAUUCUCCACGAGGUCCCCUGAUGUGCACAGGGAGUUUGUUAAGACAAUGCCAUUGCCGAAGUACCCUUUAGGGAGUGGUGGAUUGAAUCUGGAGCGUCCGUCGACAGCAAAUAGGAGCUUUGUUUGCUGAUCAGGAUUCAAUUUUAAGGCCUGGCUUCGGGCCCUCCAGACGAAUGCUGAAAGGGCUUCAAAGGUUGUGCAUUUUUGAAGUGUACCAUCUUCCAAGGCUUUCUUUUUCAGAUAAUCAAGCUUUUCGGGGCUAAAACAGAAGGAUCUGUAGUGCAUUUCUUCUUUGUAGAGCUCAGCAGUGUCUGAAAUGUCAUCAAUUUGAGCAAAUUCUUGGUGUGGGAAUUCGAUUUUGGGAAUGUUCCUAGCUUUCAAUAUGCUUCUAUCAAGAAAUGGUACGACUUUCAUUGGUAAGUUUCUGGCAAUCUCACCCCACGAGUUCACGAAGUCCAUAGCACCAAGCCCGUCAAACAUACAAUGGUUCAUGCAUAACCCGAGAACAAAUCCUCCACAUUUGAAUUUUGUCACCUGGAAAAUCAGUUUUAAAACCGGUUGGUAUCGGUAAAGAAAUAGUGAGAACAAAAGUGGCAAGUCUUGUGAAAUUUACUAGUACAGAAGUGACGUAAUAACUAACCUGAGCAACAAGAGGAGGAAUUUCUAGCACGUUUUUGGCCCCAGGAACAUUAUAAACCAGUUUACCAAGAGUGACAGGAUCAGGCUUCGUAAUAUCACCAAUCUCUUCCAAAACACCGUUGGCCUCUGCCUCGACAAAAACAGCCCCUUCACCGGUACAAUCUAUAAUCAGCUUGCCCUCCUGGCUAAUUGUCAACCGUCCAGCAAGAGGGUAAUAGUGAACAAGAACCUUUGCUAAAGCAUUCUUAAUCACCUCAACAGCAUUCUCAUUACCUUUAUCCUCUGCUUUGAAGCAGUAAAUUGUACGAACAAUCACAGCGAUGUUCUGGUCAAGAUUUGACAGAAAGUACAGCCCCUUCUCGGUCUCCUCUGCAGGAGGAACCAGCAUUGGCUCACCUUGUUUGACCACUAGUUCAAGAUAAUCAGCACCAGAGUUUCCCAUGACAAAACACUCCUGAAUUUACAAACCUUAGUUAAAAUACAAAGAAAAAAAAGAUGACAAAGUGCAAGAUAAUGAUGAAGAUCGACAAACCUAUAAUUGAGUAAAGUAUACAGUUGGUGCUUGGAGUGUACUAACAGAAGAAGUAUAAGAUAAUUUCGUAAAGAGUUUGCAGUUGGUUAUAUAGGAAGAUAAGGAUUAAAAGAUCUAGAGAUUUGGAAGUUUUGGUUAACAAAGAUUUAGUCAUGAAAGGGACAAGGUUUGCUGCAUAUUCAGAGCAAGUACUAGAAGAAGGGCUUAUCAUAAUUAUAUUAUAUUCUAACCUUCCCCCUCACUGGAAAGCCCAUUUGUGGGUCAAGAGUGGAUCCCCGAGUCUCCCAUGAGCCUGAGCACUGAUAUCAUGUUAAGUGAUCAAUUCUCCAAAAAGCUCAAGGUGUUAGGAGGGCUUACCAGGAUCAUAUUAUAUUCAAACAGUCGUACACAAUGCUAUUUUGGUGUAGGUGUUUCCCGUGGGGAAAAAAAGAAGACUUUUCGAACAUUUCCAUUGGAAGAAUCUUCUAAUGUCAUAUAAUGCAGGUAGGCUACUAGCAACAAACCAAACAUACCAGACAGAUGCUGGGCUGGAGUGUUUGGUGAGGUUGGCAUCCAAACUUUGUUGAUUAACCUAACUUACGCAUGAUGCUAAACCAAGUACUAUGAUGCACAAAGCACAAGUUAUAUCUUCAGUGAAGCAAAGGAGUUGCGACUACAGCUUCAUACGUUAGCCAGCAAUAACUCUUUAAAUGAGCGCAAUUAUAUGUUACCCCGUACCUGAGUUCAUAUAGACAAAUUCAGAAUAUUAGAUCUGUAAAAUCAUAAGUUGUGCAAUUUCAAAUUGGACAAAUAUCUAAAAUUCUAAAAUAUGGUAAAAAUUUCGCAGCUUCAAGCACACAGUAUAUAUAUUUGCUGAGACUGCGGAGUAGAACUUGACAACAGGUUUAAGCCAGUUAUUCCAAAACUUCUAGAGUAGCUGCAUGCCUGCAAUCAACUAACUGUGCAAAUAUUAACCACAGCCAUUGCAAUUCCAACUAGAGCGAGGCUCAUAAGACAGAAGCAACUUAUUCGUACCGUUUAUGAAACGAACCUAUAACUCAAUUUCCAACUUAUAAGUCAAAAUAUGAUAAAUUAAAAAUACUAACUCUUUUUCAAUAACUUGUUUUUAUUUUUGAAAUUUGAUUUUACAGGACCACUUAAAAUGAUAAUUUAUAAUAAUUUAUUAUUAUAUUAAUAAUUAUUAUACCAAUAUAUUGUAAAUACCUAAAAAAUUAUUCAAACACAUAAAAUAGAAAUUACUUAUAACUUCUCGUUUAUAACCAAUACACACUUCUUUUAAAUUACAUCAAACAGCCCUGUAUUACCCAGCUUCAUUUGAAUUUACUUUAGACUCCCUUAACUUGAACAAAAAAUCCUCUUGACAAAAACAAAACAAAACUACAUUUCCAGUUACAGUUACCUGGUGAAGAACAUGAGCCCUGAUGCUAUAAUACUUGACGACAGAGUUCAUAAGCAUAACUGGGGCAACCAGCACUAAGUUAACAAUUCCAUUUGGUCUAUAACAUUUACUUACACAAAACAAAACCUCGGACGACACAAGCAGCGCAGAUGAAUCAGUAAAAUGACAGGUUACAAUAUCACCAGCUUGAACCAUGACUGCAUACAGCCUUACCUUGAACUAUGGUCUAUGACAGUCAAAAGGUUCCAACUUCCAAUACAGAAGACGAUUAUUUGACAAAAUUGCACGCAGAAAGUCAUAGUAUAGACAGUUGAAGGUAAAAAAAAGAUUUAAAAUCUGAUACAAACCUCAAGGCAUCCAAGAGCACAAGUUAGAGGGUUAACAAGUGAGACUAAUGUCACUUGUUAAUCCAGAUACAAUUUAAAUCAAAACCAAGGAAAUACCAAAGUAAUAUCACAUUUGUAAUAAUAUCAGCUAAAGAUAGGUGGAGUACAGCCAAAGGGAGGCUAGCUAUCAAGACAAGCAAAAGAACUGAAGUAACAUCUACAGUGCAGCCCCCAAAGUAUAGAGCUAAAGUCAUUUGAAAUAGAAUUUAUUUGAACCUUCAUCUGGACUGGGGGACCUGCCCCAUUUACUCGUUACACAGCCUUAUGUGCAGCAGAUGGAUUCAAUAGCGUUUCCUAAACUAUGCCAUCUAAGCAUUGUUAUCAUCUUCUCCAUCCCCUUCCCCAUCUUCUCCGUCAUCAUCCUCCCCAUCAUCAUCCUCAUCAGUCAUGUUGCUUAUAACAUCAGUAAUAAUUAAUCUCACCUCAGCUUUUCGGUGCGAAAGAUCUACAUCGAAGUGGGUACCUAAUAAAAACGACACAGUUUAGAAGAUCAAUGUUGAUAAGUAGCUUAUGACUUGAGGAAGGUAAAAACAAAUCACUUCGAUAAUUUUCACUUACAGAGCUGUCUCAGUAUAUCAGAUAAAGUUGCCUGCAUGGUAACAGAUACAAUGAUGUUAUAAUUAGUGAAUAACCUUGCAUAGCAUAAUUCAAAAGAAAAUAUUGUUAAAUUAGAGCUGGAAGCAAAUAUUACUAACCGUGUUGAAAUCAACUUUUUUCAGAAUAUCUGCUACAACUGCAUGCAUCUCCUCUUUACUUGGUUCAGGCUUAGCCUUUUUGCCACCUUUUUUAUUUCCUACUGCCAGCAAAGUUAAUAUGAAAUAUUAUCACUUGCAGGCUUUGGUAAAAAAUUCUAACAAGUUUUUUAAUUGAUAAUGAUCUACAAGAUGGGUUGUUUUGGUGUCACGUCUUCUAUACUCAACUUUUUAGCCAUUCGUCGCCUUAAAAAAAUUUGUCUAUUACAUAAAUGGACAAAUAGGGGUAUACGUCAUAAUUCAUUCACCAAGAGUAAAAACCAGAAGAAUGCAAUUUACACAAUGCAGCAUGUAAUAUCAUAUACUACAGCUAAACCUCCAUAAUUGAAAAUCAAUAAGAUAAUGAAAAUGUCAGUUUUCUUUAUAGGCCAAAAAUUCAAAGUUGUCAAGCAUCAGAUUUUAAAGCAUUGCAUACUUGCAUAACAAGAGGAGAUGAAGUGGAGCUAUUGAGGAGAUGAGAACAUGUACAAUUAAAAGAACACACUGGCUAGGAAGGUUCAAGAAUAUAUCAGAAAUAACACACCUUGAUCUUUUGCUAGUGACUUUGUGGAAGACUUGUUCGGUUCUUUUUUGCCUGAGGUUUUCGCUUUUGCAGAUAAACUUUCAUCCUUGUGUUCCUUAUCCAGCUUUUGCUUCUUAGUCGAAGGCACCUUGGGUUUACGAGAUGAGCCAGAAGCUACACUGGUGUCAUUCUUUUCAGCAUCACCCAUGGACAUUAAAGACUUCUUAGUCGGCUUUGGAGUUAUUUUGGAUGAUUUCAUAGGAGGGGUCCUUUCAACAGAAGUUGAUUUGCCUGCAGUUUUAACCCCAGAAUCAUUCUUACUAACUGCCUUGGAAGAAUUCUUUUUGCUUGUCAGUUCCCUUCUUGGUUUACCUUUCUUGUUCUCUUCCUCAUCUUCAGACUUACUGUCCUGAUCACUCUCCUCUAAAUCUUCAUCAUUUUUCUCUUCUUCCGACUUAAUGUCCUGAUCAGUCUCCUCCUUUGAAUCUUCAUCAUUUUUCUCUUCUUCAGACUUACUGUCCUGAUCACUCUCCUUUGAAUCUUCAGCAUUUUUCUCUUCUUCAGACUUACUGUCCUGAUCACUCUCCUCCUUUGUAUCUGCAUCAUUUUCACCAUCAUCCUGUGAAACAUCUCCGUUUUCUGAGGGUUCAGCUUCAUCAUCUUCUUCUUCCUUUAAAGGUCUCUUACGUUUCUUCUCAGAUUCAGACUCGAGUUUUUGUUUCUAUUAAACAGUGAAAAGAUUAUGGCACUCUUUAGGUUUGUGAUGAGACAGCCACGGAAAAAAAAGAAUAAUCAGAGAAUUCAUGCACAUCUAGCUAAUAUACAUGCAUACACAUGUUAAUAGAAGGAUCUAAAAUCUAAACUGUUACUGCAAACUAAAUAUAUGAAUCAUUAUGCCACAACAAAGAUUAAAACAUACAUAUAUUUAGAUAUUAAAUCUCUGAAAGAACAUUACAAAAACAUGCUAUGUUGAAAUAGUAACUUUAAAUUGCAAGAAAUAAACAAGCUGUAGAUUCUAUUUUGAAGUACUUUAUAUUUCAACUACACUUGUGUAUGUGUCUGCACUUCAUUAGCAUAUGAAAUGGUUAUCAUAAGCAUAUUGAAACUAUGAAGUAACCGGCAAUUUCAAAAAAUAGCAGAUAGUUUCCAGCCUCCUAUUUUUUACACAAUUGGAAACACGGACAAUAUAAAGAAUUAAAUAUAGGUAGGCAACAUAAUGAUACAUUGACAAGCCUCCCCCCUGGAGGAGGGGUAAUUAAAUACUGUAGAAGAUAACGCUAUCUAUGAGCAGAAACAUAAUUUUAUUCAAACAUUAAAAGUAGCUAUGUAUCAUCAAUUCAUCAUUAUGUUAGUAAAGUGAUAAUAUAAACAGAAACCAAAUAAAACAUAUGCACACCUUGGACUUUGUUUUUGAAGCUUUUCUCACAGAACUCGGUGACUUGCUAGAUUUUGCCUUCCUCUUCAGCUUUUUACCUUUCUGCAAACAGUAAUCAGGAGAUUUGUUUAAAAAACAAAAAACAGAACAUAUAUAUGCUUGCAAUUUUUUGUAACUGAUUUUAACUAAUCGUGUACAACAGGACAUGAGAAAGGUUUUGCAACAGAAAUGACAUCUAAACAUACGACAUGCCUGGUGUGCAUGUUUUAAUGAAAAAGCUGAAAUAUGAGAGAGAGAGAGAGAGAGAGAGAGAGAGAGAGAGAGAGAGAGAGAGAGAGAGAGAGAGAGAGCGCGCACUUUACUCUCAGCUAGCAAUUUUUCAGUUGUGGCAUGUGGAGAUUCCAAAAACUCCAAUAGCUUCACAGAAAGAUCUUCCUGCAAACAGUUAGCAAAUAAUCAGAACACUGCAUCAGUGCAUGUAGCAUUAGUAUCAGCACUUUUUUUGUGAAGACUAACCUUCUUAGAAGAGGCUUUGUUAACUGGUAUAUUAAGAAUAUCGCAAAAAAACAGCAGUUUAUCUUUGACACACCUAUCAAUCCUCUCCUUAACCUUAAUUCUCUGCUUUUCCUGCUAUAGGGUAGCAAACAAUAUACUAAACAAGCAACACUACAUCAAAGCUCGAAACAAAAACUAUAAUAUGCUUCAAAAGUAACUGCCUUAGGCCAAGGCCAGGAGAAAUGUAUAUAUGAUCCAUGUAUCAAUCUGAUACAGCACAAACUAGACAUAAAUAAAGUCUUAGCAAUAAGAAAAUGACUACACUCAAAAAUACCUCAUCUGCAUCCCACACAAAGCCAGAAAAUAAACCAAUGUUUCGUUUUAAUACGUGCACCUGCAAUAUAAUCUUAUGAUUAAUAAUAAGCUUCCUCAUAAUUCAUUAAACAAACUUUACAACAAUUUGUAUUAGUUGAGAACAUGUGCAUAUAGCCAUAUACACAAGGCCUAUCAAGAGCAAAGAACAAUACAUUAUCAAUUUGAUUCCUUCCGAUAAGAAAUAUUGGUGUAGCGCAAAGAAGACUACCUUUAUCCUCUUCCCAAAAAGAAUGCUAUGAAGUAUCUUCAAGUUUUCAUCAGGUUUUAUCUUUGACAGCUUGAAGGCCACUGAAAUGUUGAACAAUAUCAAACUGAGAGAAAAUUUAAGCUUUUCAAACAUUAUUAAAUAAUGCUAUAUUGUUACAGUUGAUAAAAGGGUUGAAAACAGCAAUCAAGAAGCAAAAAAUUGGCCACCGGACUUGUACAAGUAUAUGAAACUUGGUAGUGUAUAUUGACACCAAUUACUUUCUCCAACUCUAUCAUCAAAAAACAAGAUAAAUAGAUAUUUUCAUGUGAUGGUAUGACUAUAGUAUAUGAUUAGAAAAACCUGCGUUCUGAUUUCACUUCAUUCAAUUAUAUAUAAACCCAACCAUUUACCGGUCAGGGCCAUAAAGGCAUAUAUAAAAUCCUAACAACAGCAUGGCAUGUUCAAUUAUCUCUCAAACUAUCUACAAAUUUUCAGUGCACACAAUGGGACAAUUAGAUUGGUGGGAAUAAAUUAAAACUGUACGAACAUAAAAUAAAGACACUAGUCAAGUGCGUUUCAUACAUGCAUAACACCCAAACCCAAUACCAUGAUCUUUACCGAUACAAAAUAAAUUAUACUCAAUUGCAUAAAUAUAGAACUCGGAUGUCAUUUUUACAAGCCAAACUAAUGCAAUUCUAAACAUUCAAAAUCAUCAACAAGCGAAUCAAGCCAUACCAUUCGGAAUGUCCUUAAGCGGCAUUCCUUUCCCCUACAUUUCCACAAAAGAACUCACAUUAAUUACACAAACUUAACAAAUCAUAAUAAAGCAAAUCAACUAGUAAAUUAAAUAAAUUCAUAAAUUCAAUCAAAUACCUUCUCAAUCAACACAGCUUUACCAGCAGAACUUCUCGAAUCCGACAUUUCCAUAUACCUCUCAACUGUCUUUCUCUCCCUACUAGGUCUCUCAAUCGGAGUAGCCGGAGCCUCCUUCACGCUCCCUCGCCUUCUCCGCUUUUUCGCCACAACUUUCUCAUCCCCACUCUUCUCCUCCUCUUCAUCACAAUUCUCCUCCUCCUUUUCCCCAUCUUGCUCACCAUCUUCCCCUUCCCCUUCUUCUCCUUCAUCGCCUUCCGCCUUUUCGACAUCUUUCUCUUCAAGAACCUCCUCUUCCUCCACCAAUUUCACAUCUUUCUCUCCUCUCUCCGCACCAUUUUCAACUUUCUCAACAACCCUCUUCUCCUCUCCCACAAUUCCAUUCUCAGACGCCAUCAAACAACACUUUCACCACCACAAACAAGAUUCAAGAUUUCGAAAAUUGAAUCUUCUGGGUGGCCGGAAAAUGGGAUUUGAAGAAAACAGUCAAAAGGGUCGUCAAGAAACCCUAAAAGAUUGAAUCUUGGGGCACGAGAGAGAUGGGGUUUUGGGUAAAUUGGGAAGAGAGACAGAGUAUAUAAGAGAGAGACAGAGUGAGAGACGGCAGCUUUGUAUUACAAAAUCUGGGAAUUUUUAGUGAGGCGGGUUAUUUUUGCUUUUCAAACUUUUCGUUCCAAAUAUUUGCGCGGCAUGGUGUAUCAAAAUUGGUUGUUAUAAAUCCAAAUUAAUGCUCUCUAUCUGGUAGGGAUGGGCAUCGGGCCCUUCGGGUCGGGGAUUGCUAUACCCGGCCCCGAUCCCCGAAUCCAAACUCAAUCCCCAUCCCCGGCCCGAUCCCCAUCGGGGAUUAUUUUUCGAUCCCCAUCCCCAGCCCGAUCGGGAUUCGAGUAUACCUGCGGGGAUUCGGGGAUUUUUAAUUUAAGCUAAAAUUUCUAUUUAAAUACUUAAAUUCAUAAUUACGAUUAGUUUCUAAUAUGUCUAAUUAAUACCUAAUCAUUUUAAUAAACAGAUCUUCAAUGAUUUAAUUAUGAUCUUUUUAGUUUUAAGACUCAUAUUAAUAGAAAUAAAUAUUAAAAUUUAUUUCAAUAAAUUUAAUUAUAUUAAAGAGGUAUAUAAACAUGUUAAUAAAUGAUUAUAAUAUAUAUGUAUAUAUUUAUAUUAUAUAUAUAUAAUAUAUAAUAUAAUAAUCGGGUCGGGGAUCGGGUCGACAAUCGGGGGAAAUCGGGUCGGGGGUCGGGGAUCGGGCCGGGGGAAUGUGAAAAACCGUACCCGACCCGAUCCCCGAUUUUUUUUCAAAGUCAUCCCCGAUCCCCGGCCCGUACUCGAAAAAAUCCCCGAAUCCCCGCACUAUUCGGUGCGGGGAUCGGGUCGGGAUCGUGCGGGUCGGGAUUAAUGCCCAUCCCUAGUAUCUGGCCUGAUUUAAAUAUAUAAUUUCGAAAUUUCAGAUUGGAAUCAAGGAUUAAUAAACACAAAUCAACAGUCGAAUUAUUAUAGAAAUUGUCGAGGAUGACAAAUUUUUAUAUAAAAUGUAUUUAGAUGUCCUUCUAAAAUUUCUGGCUUUUCUUUUUUGUCAAAAAAAAAAAAGAUGUACUUCUAAAAUCUCUGAUUCGGUCUCUCCGACCAUUUUAAAUUUUUCUCAAAUAAUAUAUUAUAGAAUAAAUAAAAUUAAUAUACCAAAUACUAUUAUUAUAUCAUAUAGUUAUAUAAUACUUGAUUUCAAAUCAAUUUAUUUUUAAAAUUAAUUAUUGGUCAUCUGAUUAUUUCAUAAUCAGCACUUUGACAAAUUGAUUCUGAUGAUUAAACUUCACAAACAUACUUAUAACUGACGAGUAAUAUAAUUUAUAUCUAAUAAAUAAUAAUAUAUUAAGAUCAAUAUAUAAUAUAAUAAAUGAAUAAAUAUGUCAUUACUUACAAAAAUAAAUGUAUUUAUUGUUUUUUUAAUUAAUAGAUUAGGGUUGAUAGAAAAAAGGAGCGAAAUAUUUUUUUUGUUUAUACAAUUUUAAUGUCUAAACUUUUGAAUCAUAGAAAAUACAUUCUAUGAAAAAAAUAGUAAUAAAGAGAAUAGUUGUCAAAAAAUUAGGUUAUAAUAUGUUGAGUUAAAAAAUGCUAAUCGAUGAUAUUCAUGUGAGUUUAAAACAGUGAUACAAAUAUAAUCUAAUUUAAAUAUAUGGAAAAAGUUAGGUAAAUUCAUGCUAAAGAUAAAUAUUUAUGUUAUAUCUAUAAUAAAACUAAAAAGAAAUAUUAUAUUAAUAAUACUAAAGUAUAAUAACUAUUUAAAGAUUUAAUGAGUUUGUUUAUAAAUUGUGAAGUUAGCUGUUAUAUAAAAUUUCAAAAAACUACUAAACUGGUCAAAAUUAUAUGUAUAUAAUUUGAACGAUUCGACUUAAAAUAAUAUUUAGAUUUUGAGUAUUUGUUUCCGAGUACUAAGUUAUGUGAAGACCAUCAUUCUUUGGAGUAUUGGAGUCCCGCAUCCUACCAUCCAUCUUGUUCUAAUCUAGGAGCUUAUUAACCAAUCUAAUUAGAAAACUCCCUCAACAAGAAACAUUUGUGUACAUAUAGUACAUGUACGUUGUAUAACUUCUCCUGUAACGGUUAGUUUUAAACUACACCGCCAUUUUAGGGAGCGGUUUUUCCGAUAAAUCCUUGCAAGUUUUAUGUUUAUCGAAUUGAUGUCCAUGUAAUCUGUAAUUGUAAUUUUUCAUAAAUUCCGUUAGGGUAUCAGUAAUUGACUUACAGGCCUUCAUCUUUACUCUAAUUUCCAAAUGGCUGUUCGAAAAAAGCAUAAUUAAACAAUACGAAAACUGAAAGGUUAGUUCUUUCACAUAUGAAUUAGGAUGAAUCAAACUUGAACUCAUAUCUUGCAGUUUCCCAAUAAGGCAUUUCUUGUAGAUGGUUCUUCAAUUUAUCAGUAUGUUAUGCACUCUAUCCGCGUUGACAACCUUAUCCCACGAAAUUCUGGAUAUUAAUUUGGGGCGAUAGUCAAGAACAUCAAUUGAUUGAUAAUGGUUGAUGGAAAGUUCUGAAUUACAGUAGUGUGUAAAGUACUGUUUAUACGAAAUGCUAUACGGAGGUUAUAUAUAAUUAUUUAAAUUUUAAAAAUUUGCUAGUUGUCCUUCACAUCUACCAUUGAUUUUUGUUUUAGUUCAAAGGUGUAAGAUAUGAUCUCCAAAUAAUUCAAUAUAAUAAUACUCUAAAGAGCCCAACUCUUGUUUCAGAGUGCUCUAAAAAUAUCACAGAUUCUUCACAGAUUCUUCAUAAAUUGAGUUAAAAUCGUAAAUUGUUUUAACCCCACUCUACAUUGUACUUUGUUGUGUAUAACACAAUACACACACAGACACGUAUAAGAAUAUAUUUAGGUGACAUAUAUACAAAUUGGAAUCAGUUAAACAAGUAAUCACAUAAUUAAAAAACAAUUAAUUACUAUUUAUUAUUAUAUGCUUCAUCUCACAAAUUUACUGAUAAAAUAGUUCAUAUUCAAUACUAAUCAUCCAUCACACCAAAUAUAUGCAUAUCAUAUUCGUAUAUUCAUUAAUAUAUUAAUAAAACCCAACCGAUUUUAUAAUGUUCUCGAUAUCAUGAUCAUAUCAAUUCAAUUUAAUUUAACUCGAAAAUAAAUAAUCAAAUAAUUCUAUAGUAGUUAUUCGAAUAUAAAUAUAGAUGUGAGUUCCUAGCACACUACAUAUAUUUUAAUUUAAAAAAAGGACAAACAAUAUUAUUAGUUAAUAAUAUAUCUAAGUUUCGGUGAAACCUUAUUAUUUAAUUUAUGCGCAAUCAACAAAAACAUUUCCACAUAAAUAAUUAAAGCAUAAAUGGAAUUUAAAUUAAUAAAUUAUUGAUUAUUAAUAUUAUUAUUUAUCAUGAUUAUUAUGAAGAUAUUAGAUAUUAAAAUUUAAUUUAUUAAUAUUUUAGUUUUCUAAAUUUUCACGAGUUCGGCCAAACAUCCCAAAUUCGCUCCCCUCCACCCAUCUUCUCUCCUCCCCCUCCAUGGCUCCAUCUCUCUCUUACAUCACCAUGACUCCAUAAAUGUCAUCUUUUUCGGCGUCAACACAUUACACAACCCUCGAAAUCCUCCUCUAUCCUUGAUUCCUUACACCUCUUUCCACCAUUUCACCACCAUUUUCCACUUUCCUUCACCUUCAACCAUCCCCAUUUUCAUUCCUUCAUGGCUUCGCUAUCACCGCUGGCCACCAAACUCUUUCACCACCAUGACUUACCCUCACUUCAGGUUCCCACCUUCUCCUCUUCUUCCUUUCCCCUCCCGCUGCAACUAUUUGCAGGAAUCCACAUAUAUGACGAAUAAUAUGAGUAUUCACCUAAAUACAUAUAUAACAAAAUUUUCAAUAUCUCACAAACUCGGAAAAUAAAUAAAUAAAUAAAUUUAAAAAUUCAACAAAUUGGAGAAAAAUAUAAAAAUUUAUUCCACUUUUUCAGGAAAAUCAUUGAUACGAUAAUAAGAUAAUUUCAAAAAAAUAUGGGUUGUAAGUAUAAACUAGGAUUCAUGCAUCUGUUCUCUACUUGCAUCGCAGUGAUUAAGGUUAAUUUCCAGUUUGAUGUUGAUACAUUUAAUAUCAUAAAACAUAGCACCAUGAUUCAAUUGAAUGAAAAAGUGGUUUCAGCACUUAGAUUAUAACUAGCCAUAAUAAUCUUAUAUGGGCUCGAAAAUGGGUCUUUGAAGGGACAGAUGCGCCACUUGAGGAUGAGCCCUAUAAUGAUAUAGCCAGGUAGGCUUCCAGUAUGGGCCUAUGGGGAACCGAAUCACACACUAGGAGACAGAUAUCGGCAGGUGUCGAGCACGAUAUAUGAAAAAAGAGAUUGUUAGAAUAUGUCCUCAAUCGGUUGUGAAAGUGGCAGAAAGUUAGAAUUGAAGCCAACUAGAUAACUUCAUUAGUAUUAGGUAUUUUGAAAGAUGUCCACACAAAAAAAAACACGUGCGAGCUCGGGCCAAAGUGGAUAAUAUCAUACUAUCAUGGAGAUAGGCACACUUGGCAUGCCCAACAAUUAUUACUUAAAUUAUAAAAAUUGAUAAUGGAAACCUUAUUUGAUUAUUAUAAAUUUACUAUUAAACUAAUAACUUCCAACAUUAUAAUAAAUUCACAAACUUAUCAUUACAGCUUAUAUUAAUAAAAUCUUUGUGUAUCCAAAAUAUAUAAAAGAAAUAUGGUUACAUUUAAAGAAUCAUUCAGUUCCAAAGCACUAUAGAUCAGGUUAUAUCUAUAUCAAUAAUAUAUUACCAUCUCAGAAAAUCUAAAUAUUAUCUAUAAGAUUAUAUAAAGGGUCGUGUGUCUAUGGUCGUAGCCAUUGUUCACUAAAUCUGGUUUUAAGAUAGUGUGUAAAAGGUAAUAUGAUCUGCUUCCUCCAACUGUAGCCGACUGAUGAUUAUGAAUUUUAAGCUAAUAUCAAAUUAUAUGUAUAACUAUUCUGUGACAUUCAUAUUGAAAAGAUUCGUGGAUCUAGGUAUUGUAUAAUCAUCUAUCUUCGAUUAAUUAAACAUUCUUAUUGUUGUAAUUGUAAUUUUAGUGGCAUAUAGAUGCAUUUCACUUUUAUCAACAAUAAAAAGAGUAAUUGUACUAAUUUAACAUUAUACUUAUUACUUGGAUUUUCAAAGCAUUGCAUAUGCAUUGAUUUGUAACUAUUGAUUUGCAUGAAAAUAAAACUAAAGAUCGGUUAACAUAUAUAGUUUUUUAAAGCGAGGAAUAUAUGGCUAAGAAGAUUGAAAGUUCCAAGAAAAAGAAAUUGUCUGCACUUGUCGUAGAUGAUUCUAGCGUCUGCAGGACGGUUCAUGUUGCAUGCCUUAGAAGGCAUGACUUUGAAACCUAUGUUGUUGAAAAUGGUAGGGAAGCAGUUGAUCUUAUCCGUUCCGGAGAACAGUUUGAUGUCAUUUUUAUGGCUGUGGAGAUGCCAGUUUUGAAUGGUAUUCAGGUUAGUCAAAUUACACACACUAGGAUUGUUGAAGCAUUAAAGAAUACAAAUAAUACUCAAAUAUUAUUUUCAUGAUGAUAAAUAUAUAUAAUUUCAUUUCAGGCUACUAGGGAAUUGCGUGGAAUGGGAGUGAAAACCAUGAUUGUUGGAAUAGACUGUGAUUUAGGAUAUCUCGGUGAACAUCCUAUAAUUGCUGGCAUGGAUCGUAUGUAUGAGAAGCCCAUGACACAAGAGAUCGUCAUAUCUGUUCGUCAAGCGCUUCUAAACAACUACAAUAUUUAGACAUUUAUGAAUUCAAUAUGUAUCAAUGUUAUAAUAUUAUAAACAAAGUCUUCAUCUGGUUCCUUAUAAUUCUAAUAUAUAUAAUUUUGUUUAUGAUAUUUUAAGUCAAUUGCAAAAAUCAUAUUAAAAUACCUAACAUAUUAUCACAUUAUGAAAUAUAGAAACUUGGGAAAAUAUAAUUGUUAUAACCCUUUGGUAUGAGUUGAAAUUGAGAAUUUUAUGAAGAUCAUGUUUUGAUACAAGAAAAGUAUUUACAUGACACUUAAAAUAUGUGUACAAACAAAAUGAAAAUGAUAAGAAAAUGAGUGGUUAACUCGCAAACUCAUAACUAAGGAUUCCAAAAUCUUGAGGAAAAUCUAUACUUUAAAGAAAAAGGACAGCCACCUUAGUAGAGAAAUUGAUCAAGAAUCCUUUACAAGAUUUUAAGUUCAAAUAUGAGUCUAUAAUUUUAAUUAAAUAAAAACCUUUAAAAGUUUCAUUUAUGGUAGAAAAUUAAGUUCCUUAUUGAAACCAUUUAUAUGAAGUUUUUCUAUCAUCAACAAGAUUUGAUUAUAAAACAAAUAGAUAACAAGUAUUUAAACUUGAUUAAAAUGUGGCCUAUGUAGGAUAAUUGACCUAAGAAUAACUAAGGUGCACUAUUUCUUUACUCCACAAUACUUAUUCUUUGUGAUCAAAUUUCUAUUUGUCGUUCAAGUAUAUCUCUUUUCUAAUCGCAUUGAUCUGCCUUUGUUCUUAGUAAUUCCACUACGAAGUACUUUAAAAUAAUUUGGUCGAAAAAGAUAUUGUGCCCCUUUAGCUAAACUUAUUUUUCAAAAAUAAAGGUUUAUUUUUGUGCUAAAUAACGAAUAUAAAAAAAUUUCUUAACAUUAAUAUCUAUAACAAUAUACAUUUUUAAAAAAGAAUAAACUCUUAAAUUUGAAAAAAAAAAUGUCUAAACAAGCCCAUUAUUAAAGCACCUCAAACCAGUCCUUUUUAACAUAUUUAAAGGAUAAUAGUUCACUUUUAUAAAUUAUCUCUUGCAAUAAAUAUAGUAUUAAAAGAUUAUAAUCCUUGAAAUUAAUAAGUAGGGGUGUCAAACGGAUAAAACAGAUACGGAUUUGCUCAUAUCUGUAUCCGUAUCCGCUUACUCAAAAUCGGAUCCGGAUCCGGAUACGCAAAUUUUAGAAUAAAAAGAUCCGUAUCCGUAUCCGGACGGAUAUUAUCCGGAUACGGAUAAUAUCCGUAUCCGCUUUUUCAAACAUCACCAAAAAUCAAAUAUACAUUCUGAGAUUAAUUAGAAAAACAUAUUUUGAACCGUUCAACAGCAAAUGUAUACCCAAUCAGAAAUUAAUAACAUACUUCAACAGAAGUUUGGGCAUUCAGGCCAACUAUUUCGAACAAAAUAUUAAUUUUAACAACUUAAAAUCACAAAACAACACUAUUUGCAACAAUUUUAAAAAGAAAAAGUUUGAUGAAGAUAGUUCCAUUUUCUCCAUUUGCAAGAUACUUAAUGUUUCUUUUUUUUAUUUUAAAUAUUAAUUCUUUUUCAAAAUUUAUAUGAUAAAAUAAAAAUAUAAGUAAAUAAUAAAUUUAUAUAAAUAUUAUUAUAUCCAUAUAAUAAUAAUUUCGGAUACGGAUAUUUCGGAUACGGAUUCGCCUAUAUCCAUAUCUGUAUCCGCAAACCCCGGAUUCGAAUACGGAUAAUAUCCGUUUUAUUCUGGAUACGGAUUAUAUCCGUUUUUUUCCGGAUACGAUAACGGAUUUUUCGGACGGAUAUCGGAUCUUUCGGAUUUUUUUGACAGCCCUGUUAAUAAGGAAGAAUCAAUAUACUUAUAGAAAGGAGAAGCGAGGGGUGUGUAGGUGGCGCCUCUCAGAUUACUCCAUUUUAUUUUUCUAAUAUUCUGAAAUUUUUGGAUGAAAAAUAUCAAAAAUAAGAACUAUCUUUUUCAAUUUGGGAGAUAUUGGAAGCAAGUUUUAAAACUACCUUUUUCAAAAUAUAAAAAAUAAAAUUUACCUACUUUUUUUAGUAUCAAAAUUAUUAGAAGAAAGUUUCAAAUUAUGAUUUUAAUUUUAAACAAAUCAAAAAUAAAAAUUACCUUUUUUAGUUUCGUAUAUAUUGGAAGAAAGUUUCAAAACUACCCUUUUUAAUAUAUCAAAAAUAAAAAGUACCGACCUUAAUAAAUAUCAAAUCAGAAUUUGAAACUUCUUUUCGAUUAUUUUGAUACCGAAAAAGACUUACUUUUCCUCCAAAACCAUAACCAUAUUUUUGGAAAAGUGUAUAUCAAAAACAGAAAAUAUUUUUGAUAAGCCGGUCUUUUCUCAAAUCAACCCCUAUAAAUUGAAGUCAAACAUCAUAAAAUUUAACAUAAACAAAUUUUUUGUGCCUAUUUAUUUUCUCCAUCUAAUACAAUAAUGAGUUACAUUAUACUAGAGUUUUGAAUGACGAUAGAGAUGAUUGGCUAAUUACAGUAAGAGUUUGUUAGAUGUGGAGUCACCAAAUCCAAACACGGGAGUCUUAACAUGAUAUUGAUGAAUGAAAAGGUCAAUGAAUUAAUGUUAGUGAUAUAUGUUUGUUGGUUAUUUUUUUAUAAUAUUUGUUUUGUUUAUCAUACAUGUUUGUUAUUGUUAAUUUUAUAUGGUUUACUUUGUAUACACACAAAUAUUAUUCAUGUAACACUUUCAUAAUAUCUGUUUCAUCGGUUCAAACACUUUUUAAGUGAAGGUUGUUUAUAGGGUUUUAUAUCAAAUUGUCCACCUGUUAUGUCAAAAUAUCUCAUUUGACCCACCCAUCUCAUCGGGGACUCAUUUAAGCCAUUGGAACCCAAGUAUAUAUCAUUUCACCCACAUCAAUAUUCAUACCUCUUUAAUUAAUCAUUUAUCAAAAAUUAACCUUUUAACUUUUUACUAUAAAACCACUUCGACUGCUUUCAUAAUUGUGUCUAUUAUUUAUCAAAAUAUUUUGAAAAUUCCUAAAGCGACAUAGCUAUGUGGUUAAAAAAAUACAUAGCUAGAAAUAUAUACAUAUUUAUGUGAUCACCCUAGCUAUGUUGCUUUAUAAAUUCUAAAAUUAUUUUGAUAAAUAUUUUAGACAAUUAUGAAAGUGCUCGAAGUGAUUUCGUUGUAAAAAGUUAAACGGUUAAUUUUUUUUUAUAAAUGAUUAAAUAAAGAGGUAUGAAUAGUGAUGUGGGUAAAAUGAUAUAUAUAUUUGGUUUAGAGUGGCUUAGAUGAGUCUAGGGAUGGGCAUUCACCCCGCCCCGCUCGACCCUGAUCCGAUCCCCGCCCCGUUCGGGUCGGGGAUUCGGGAAAUUUUUCGGGGGCGGGGCGGGGAUCGGGUAAAGUUUUAUUAAAAAUUCGGGGAUCGGGGCGGGGUCGGGGAUUCGUGUCUCCCCGCCCCGAUCCCCGACCCCGAUUGUGUAUAUAUAAAAACAAUAAUAUGUUUACAUAUAUUAUACUAAAUAAAUAAUUAAAAAAAGAUUGUUUAUAUAAUAUUAUUAAAAUUAAAAAAUAAUCUUUAUUUUUAUUGGUUGAUUAUAAUUAUAUUUGUAAUAUAAUAUAUUUUGUAAUCUUAAAAUUAUCUUUUAUUUAUAUUAUAAAUCAAUUUUAAUAUGAUUUGAUGUUGAAAAUAUGAGAUAAUAUCAUUUUAUUAGUAUAUUAGGAGUUAGUAUUUUGUUUUCUUUAUUAAAAAGUAUAUUAUAUAACAUAAAGUCAUUAUUUUUUUAUUAAAAAAAAUUAAAUUUCCCGAAUCCCCGCGGGGAUCUCCGUUUCCCGUUCGAGGCGGGGAUCAGGGAGGAAAAAAAUCCCCGUUCGGGGUUCGGGGCGGGGUCGGGGGUGGGGUUGGAAUUUGGGGAUCGGGGGCGGGGAUAGCACUCCCCGACCCCGAAGUGCCCCCGCGCUCAUCCCUAGAUGAGUCGCCGGUGAGAUGAGUGGGUCAAGUGAGAUAUUUUAACGUAAUGAAUGGCCAAUUUGAUAUAAAAACCCGUUGUUUACACAGUAUUACAAAAAUAAAAGUCAUUGCAAGUAAGAGUUGUUAUGGACCGCUAUCCCAUGGAUUUAAAUUGAUAUUCUUACGAACAACCAAUCCAAAGAAAUUGGAGGAUAGAGUCACUAAUAUACCCCUGCAUGGAUUUGAGUUCAUACAACCCGGCAUGAUUAAUGUUCGUAUUCAUGAUAAGGAUAUAUUCUGAGGUAUUUUUUUUAUACAAAAUAUUAUUAAUAUUAAUUACAUGUAGAAAUUUAUUUUUAUUUUUUCGCUCAUGAAUUAUAAUCCAAUUUUAUAAUUUUAUGUAAUAAUAUUGGUAUUGCAUCGAGAUGUUUAUAAUACAAAAUUUAUUUUAUUCUACAAAUGUUAAUUUUGAAUCAUUAAUAUAAUUUGUAUAGGGCGCCGCAAAUUUACUUUUUUUUACAAAUAUUAAUUUUGAAUUAUUAAUAUAGUUUUUAAGACUGCCGCAACGAGUAGCUUUUCAACUAGUUAGACUGUAAUCACAAACAAACAUUGACCAGGAAUACACUUAAAUCUCCGGUACAAAAAGGGGAAACAAGAGGUCUCUAAACUCUAAGUUUUACACAGAAAACAUUAAUGCCCUUGACCAUAUAUUCUUGAAUAUCUUCAAGUAGACUUCCCCCUGCACAAUGUUAAAAUAUAAGGUAUAAGAUCCAUAAAAGAGUCUCUUCUAACACCUUAAGAUUUUAGAUGGAAUGGUUCUCUACAUGGUAUCAGAGCGAGGUUCGCGGGAGGUCUCGGGUUCGAGCCCUGCCACCCCCCAAUUUAUGCUCCAAAGAUGGGCGCCCAUAAUGGGAUUUCGAGUGAGGGGGAGUGUAGGUAUAAGAUCCAUAAAGGGGACCAAUAUACUCACUUUUUUUGCGAAGAAAAUGAAAUCAACUUCCUGAGUCUGGAGGAGUUAGGAGACUGUUUGGGAGAAUGUGCUGCCCCGUCUCCAUUUGCCUUAAAUAGUUUCGGAGAAUGUACUGCCCCGUCUCCAUUAAUCUUGAAUAAUUUUUCCCUCACGAUCUUCUCGUAAAUAAAAGCAGCUCCUCUGAACUGUGGUAAUACCAACCAUGCCGCGAAUACUAAUUUUAUGUCAUACCAGAUUGGAAUCCUGCAGUAUCAUAACCAAACAAACAUUGUAUAUUUAGAUUCUAAAUUUUUGUCUAGAAGUCCUAAUUUUUUUUUCAAAUUUCAUUUGGUUGCAAAGAGUUCAAUUGAUCUGUAUACCAUUCUAAGAGAGGUUGUAAAAGCAUUUCGAGUAGAGUGAGGAAGGAAUAAAGGAUCCAAUAAGCAAGCCACUGCUGAUCAUCCAGCUUUGAGGUGGUCUCCAUUGCUAUCACCGACGCAUAUCUGUUAAUUCAUCAACAAAAAACCGUUGAUCAUGAAUGGUGAAAUAUAGCAUAAGAUCCAAUUAGAAUCUUGCUCUAACACCUUAAGGUCAAAUUAAGGUAUUAGAUGGACUGAUUCUCAAUAUAAUAUCAGAAAAUCACGGAAAAAGAAGGUACUCAUGGUCAUGAACACUCACAGUGGAUACAUCAACAUGGUGGCCGGCCUGCAAGUAGGCAACAAUAUGAAUUUUAGCACAAGCAGUAAAAUAAAGUAAAGGUUGCGUUUGAAAAUAUAUAUUCCAUUUCAAAAUUUGGAUUUUAAAUGAAAUGAUUUAACGUGUCAUAUCAAAUUAUCAGAUUUAUACUAAUAUUCGAAUUUUCAGAUUUGAAAUAAAAUCCAAAUCCAACUUUUUUUUAAUCUAAAAAUUUCAGGAUUUCAAAUUAAAUCCAAAUUCUCAAACAAGAGAUGACUUCAAUCGGAAAAAUCAAAAUCAAAAGAGUGAUCGGAAAAUAAACAUACCCAGCCAGGGUGUGGGCAUGGCCGAGCAGAGUCCAUAGACGGCUCCCCAUUCUUCUAAUAUGUUACAAUUCAGCUUCUGAUAACAACAACAAUAAAAAAAACGCUGAUGUGCUUGGCAGUUUCAAUUUUCUGUUCGCAAACCUGAUCGCGGAUCAGAGAAGAAGUAGAAGUAGAAACCAAGAAAUGAAAGAUGUUAAAUGAUGUAACGUCGGGCCUGCAGGGAUUAUGAGGUGUUAUCAGUGACCAUGACGGAGAGUUGACGGACUUGGAGUUUGUACAGGUGUUAAGCAGAUUGAUUACGAAGAUUAGGAACCGAAAGUUGAUUAUUUAAUUAAUUGGUGAUUAAGAGCCGUGUUCAAUGUUAAUGUUACUCAUCAGUUUAUACGUUGGUUUAGAAAAACGUCCGCAUCGAGAUAGAGUAUUUUAUGGAGGAAUUUUGGUGACAAAUGACGAGCAAGAAUUGAGAGCAUACCGUGUGUCUCGGCUCUGUUUAUUAUAUUGGGACAUAACUAUUGUCAUCUCCUCAUUGUAUUGGGCUUUCUGGAAGAGAAGCCCAUUCUGGGUAUUUAAGAUUUGAAUAACUGGACUUCAAAAUAUUACAGUCCUUCUUCAUCUUCUGUUUCAUAUCGGACCUUGUGAUAUAAAAUUUCAACGAGCUGUCACGCUAAUUUGGCGUAUGGUCAAAAUAUAAGUUGUUUGGAAGUUGGCCAGGGGCGGAACCGGGGGGCCAGCUCCGGCGCCAGCCCCGGUUGAAAAAAAAAUAAUAAUUAAAAUUUUUUUAUUUUUUAUUUUUGAGCUCGGGGACAAAUUUAAAAAUAAUUAUAUAUAAAUUUUUUAGCUCUAAUUGAAAUUUGAAAUUUUAAAAAAAAAUUGAAAUUAGCUUAUCCUUUGGUUUACCGCCUCAUUGAGCUAGCCUUGAUUUUACCUGUCGCGACAGCUACUGUUGAAAGAGUGCUUUCUGCAAUGAAAAUACUUAAGACUUAUUUGCGUAACAGGAUGGGGAUGCGUGGUUGAACGAUGGCAUGGUGGUUUACAUCGAGAAGGCCAUAUUUAGACAUAGACGAUGAAGUUAUCUUGCAACGCUAUCAAAAUAUGCAGAAUCGUAGAAUUCAGUUGUCUUCCAUUCCUUCCUCCAAAAAAGGCGGUAAAGAUGUCACUGGUUAACCAAUUAAGGUAUGCAUAUUUACUUUUAUUUUUUUUGCUGAAAUUUUAAUGAUAGUUUAGCCGGGGUCAAUAUUAAUCCUGUUUCCGCCACUGAAGUUGGCAUGUAUUAAAAGUCUUUAUAAAAUAUAAUUUAUAAUUAUUUUUAAAUUUAAUUAUUUUUGAAUAAAAAAUUAAAUACUAAAUACUUAUUCAAAAAAUAAAAAAUAUUUAUGAAAUUGUAUUUUAUAAAAGUUUUAAAACGUGUGUCGGACAUUCCUUCUCAAAUAUAGACAAUUCAGGAGAACGAGAGAAUAUACAACCAACGUAAAAACACGUGCAAGUAUUUUUGUCACAAGAGUUUGUCUAUUAUGUGCCCAUGGGCACAUGCUAAGCACGUAACAUUUAUAAAAUUGGAUGGUUUUGAUUAGUGGGAUUGUUGUAACCGCAAGGGGUCCAUCAUUAUUAAAGAAGGUAAGCCAAUAAAACCAUCCAAAUUCAUAAAUUUUGGUGCUUAGUGUGUGCUCAUGGGCACACCAUAGAAAAAUCGUUGUCAUAAUUUUAUACUUCAAAAAGAAAAAUGAUGAUAUAGUAUAUUAUAUAUAUAUAUAUAUAUAUAUAUAUAUAUAUAUAUUCUAUAUGAUUUUAUUCUAAUAUUUAAUUAUAUUUUGCAUCGAUUUGGAUAUUUAGUUAAUAGAUUUUAGUGCUUUAUUGUAGAGUGCAAGGAAUUUCUAAAGUUGGAAAGAUUUGAAGGAAAAAACCUUAAUUAGACUCAAAUUUAGAUUAAAACUCGGAUCGGGCUACACGUACUAUAACGCUGUUUGGGUCAUAUCUAGAGUUCUAUACGUCACAAUUUAACGAUCUUACACCUCACGCGAAACUUGGAGAAUUUUUUUUUAAUUCAGAGAUGAUUCAAUAUCCAAAACCCAACUGAAACAUCCCAGUAACUUUGGAGAUAUAGUUAUAUAAGUUAUUUUAAAAUAUUUUAUUCUAGAUAAAAAUCUAAUAAAAAUAUUAUUAUUUAGUAACAAAUUUUUUAGAAAUAAAUUAUAAAAUUAUAUUUUUUAAUUUUUUUAACAUGUAUGUCCAGGAAUGAACAUAUCAGUACAAAAAUGGGUCGAACAAAGAGAGUAAGUAUUUUAAUUUCCACGGCUAAAAUUUGUUAGCAGAGCAGUGCCGGAACCGAGGGGGCUAGAGGAUUCUAGAGCCCCCCAAUCUCGAAAAAAUAGUGUAUAUUUUCUUUAUCCCCGUUAAAUUAGUGAUGUCAAUAUAACUUUUUUUAUCUUGGCAAUUACUAAUGAUUUGUCAGAAACUUUACAACAAAGAACUCAGAAUAUUAAAAAUGUUAUGACAAUGAUUCAAAGGAUGAAGGUUAUAUUGCAGCUAUUAAGGGAGAAAGAAUGGGAGAUAAUUUUUAGAAGAUGUGAAGAAAUUUUGUAAUGAUAAUUUGAUUGAAAUACCCAAUAUGAAAGAUAUAUUGGCUAUCCGACAUCGCUCAAGACGUGAGGGACAAGCUGUUAUUCACUUCCAUAUUUCGUGUUGAGAUCUUUUGCGAGAUUAGUUACUUGAUUAAUUAAGUAUUUCAUAUUAUGUUCACUGCUGUAAAACUUGUUUACUAACAAGAGGUUGUUGAUCUUAUUUCCGAAGAAAUGGAUAACCGUUUUACAUAAAGAAACACAGAUCUACUGCUUUGUAUUGACUCUUUGGAUCUUAGGAAUUCAUUUUCAAGUUUCAAUAACUCAAAACUUGUCCGCCUUACACAAUUUUAUCUAGAAGAUUUCUCUCUACUAGACCUGAAUUUAAUGUCAACUCAGUUAGACAAUUUAUCUAUGAUGUGAGAAUGGAUAAAAGAUUUAUAUGGACUUCAAAGUAUAUAUAGAAGAUCAUUCUGUCGUGAUGGUUAGGACACACAGACACACUGCUUAUCCUUUGAUUUAUCUUCUGGUUGAGUUAGCUCUGGUCGCCACUGCUAUUGUUUAGAGUGUUUUUUUACUAUGAAAACAAUCAAAAUUUAUCCGUGUAAUAGGACGGGAGAUACAUGAUUAAAUGAUAGUAUGAUGAUAUAUAUCGAGAAAGUUAUUUUUGCAAGUGUGAAUAACAAAAUAUUUUAGACCUCCUUAAAUCUUAGGGUUUUAUAUCAAACUGGCCACCCAUUUCGUCAAAAAAUCUCACUUGACCCACCCAAAAAAUUUCAGACUCAUUUAAGCCACUAUAAACCAAAUGUAUAUCAUUUUACCCACUUCAUCAUUCAUACCUUUUUACUUAAUUAUUUAUAAAAAAUUAACCGUUUAUUUUUUUACUACAAAACCACUUCGAGUACUUUCAUAAUAGUUCCUGGUAUUUAUUAAAAUAAUUUGGAAAUUUCUAAAGCAACAUAGCCAUGUAGUUAAAUAAAAUAUAUAGUUAUAAAUAUAGUUAUAUGAUCAUCCUAGCUAUGUUACUUUAGGAAUUCCCAAAUUAUUUUGAUAAAUACGAGGGACUAUUAUCAAAGUACUCGAAGUGGUUUUGCAGUAAAAAAACAAACGGUUGAUUUUUUUAUAAAUAUUUAAGUAAAGAGCUAUGAAUAUUGAUGAUAUAUAUUUUGUUUAUAGUGGCUUACAUAAGUCCGAAAUUUUUUGGGUGGGUCAGGUGAGAUUUUUUGAUAAAAUGGGUGGGCAGUUUGAUAUAAAACCCUUAAAUCUUAAGCCAUGUUCCGCCACUGAGCACGAGGUUGAAAAUUCUAAUUUCGGAUAAUUAACGCGUGAGAUGAAAAAUAUUAAGUUUACUGAACACCAAACAUUGUAGAAGACCAACAAUUUACCAUAAAACCAAUAACGGGCAACUAAAAGUCACAAGGUCCUCCAAAUCAGUUAUCAGUCAAAAAAAAUCUAAUAAAGACCCAUAGGCCAUAGUCAUUUGGAAGAAAAUAUUGACCUAUUAGUAAAAGAAAUAAGACCAGUAAUUACCCAUUUAUCAUGAUUACGAUAUUUCUCCCCAAACCUUAACCACUCUCCAUUAAUCUCCAGAUAUGCCAUCUAAUCUAUAAUUAAGAACCCACUAAACACCAAGCAAACAAAUAUCAAAAGCACCACAAAAUCAUCUCUAUUUUUUGCGUGUAGCUAAAGAUCAAAAUCUAGCCUCAUUUUCCCUCCCACCCAAAAUGUGGUUGAGCAACAAUUUCCAUUUUCUCUACUAAUCCAAUUAACAUUCACACGUUUUACUAGUCAUUUUUUUGGCUUUCAAUUAUUUCUAUCAACUAUCAGCUAAUAACCACCCUAUUCUUUUUCCUCCUUGACACUUAUAAAAUUUGACCAUUUUGUUGCAUUUUUACAAUGGCUUUGAUGAACAAUGCUGCUACAUUUUUGAGUCCAGAGCAUUUGUGUAAGCCGAAACAGAACAUUAUGGGCACGGCCAUGCAGGCUCUGAGGGCUAAUUCUUUUCCGAUUUUAAGCGAUUCGAUGGUUUCGAGCCGACGGCUUGUGGUGAAGGCCAGUGGAAGGACUUCUAAGGGCAUUGACAUGAUCAAUGGAAAAAAGGUUAAUGGAAUUUAUGUGAAUGGUGGAACUUCACAGCUGGGGCAAAAAAGAAUUAGUGAGAUUCUGAAAGGUGACGAGGAGGAGCCGGAGAUGACGUGUCUUCCAGGUGGCAGAUUUUUGGAAGGGCGAUUGGUUUUUAGACAGACAUUUGUUAUCAGGUCUUAUGAAAUUGGCCCUGACAAGACUGCUACCAUGGAGACUCUGAUGAAUUUGCUUCAGGUUGGUUUUCUUGAUUAAGUUUUCUGUAACUAACAUUUACUUCCUCCGUCCUAUUCAAUUCUAUACGUUUUUUUUCGCUGGACACGCAUUUUAAUGUUUCUAUAUUUUUAUAGUAGUUCUAUAACGCAUUUUAAUGUUUUUAUAAAAUAUAGUUUUAUAACUUAUUCUGAAGUCUGAACUAAUUUAAUGAAUGCAGGAGACGGCGCUUAAUCAUGUCAGGAGAUCAGGUCUUGCAGGGAAUGGAUUCGGAGCAACCCAUGAAAUGAGCCUAAGGAAACUUAUAUGGGUUGUGACUCGCAUUAACAUCCAAGUGGACAAAUACAGCUCCUGGUAAAUUAUACAACUUUCUCAGCAUUAGAAGAAGUUAAUCUGUAGCGGUCCUCUGUAAAUAAAAGAACAGAAAUCUGGCAUAAAUUAGGACAUUUAAAUUUGUUAAAACUAUUAGCUUAACUUAACAUUCUCCAAGCUAAUCAAUUGGUAACAGGGGAGAUGUUAUUGAGAUUGAUACAUGGGUUGAUGCGGCAGGAAAAAAUGGUAUGCGUCGAGACUGGAUCAUACGCGAUUUCAAGUCUCAAAACAUCAUUACCAGAGCUACAAGGUACUAGUAAUCAACAUUUCGAAUCACUUAUUUCAAUAAGAUUUUUACACUUACCAAUCUCUCCUUUGGCAUGCAGCACAUGGGUUAUAAUGAACAGAGAAACAAGGAAACUGAGUAAAAUUCCUGAAGAAGUCAAGCGAGAAGUUGAACCAUUUCAUCUGAACAGAGUUGCAAUUGCAACAGAAGAUAUCGAUUCUGAGAAGAUUGAAAAACUUAACAAUGAUAUUGCUGAUAGAAUUAGAUCUGGUCUAGCCGUAAGUACAAUUAACAGAUCACAUUUCAUGGUUUUUACCACAUACUUUAGUCUCCUCGCUGAUAUUUUUAUUUAAUCUGGCGUGUUUUUUCCCUCGUCUUUUUCCAGCCAAGAUGGAGCGACAUGGAUGCUAAUCAACACGUAAAUAAUGUCAAAUACAUUGGAUGGAUCCUCGAGGUAUAUAAAUUUCAAUUACACGAAUAAAUGUGUCAUAAACUCACCUAUUUAGUCCACAGACCACAACUGAUUCAAAGUAACCUGUUAAGUGACCAAUUCUCCCAAAACCUCGAAGUGUUGGGAGGUGGGCAUUACAGAUGUUGAGAACCGGUCCAUCUAAAACACUAAUGUUGUGUUUGGUUGGGGAGAAUGGAAUGGAAUGGAAUGGAAUGAGUAAAAAUACUUGAAACUAGUAGAGAUAGGAAGAAAGUUUUGAAAUUUUUUUGAGUGAGUGCAAAAUUGUUAUGAUGAGAUUUGAGAAAAAUUGAGGAUAGGAGAGAAUGGAGCAUUCCAUCUCAAAUUGGAGGUGUGAUAUCUAAUACCUGAUGUAAGGAAUUGAAUGGAGAAAGGAAUGAAAUUUCUUAACAAUUGUCCAUAAUAUAGUUCAUUUUUCAUUCCAUUCCUUCCGGAAUCAUUCACCCCAACCAAACACAACAUAAGGUGUUGGGAGGAGAGCUUACCAGGAUGAUAUUAUAUUUUAACAAAUCCUAAUGUUGAUACAUGCAAAAAUGAUUGAAUUGCAGAGUGUGCCAAUGCACGUGCUAGAAGAUUACGAUCUGAGCAGCUUGACACUGGAGUACAGGCGAGAAUGCAGGCAAUCCAACAUGCUCGACUCCUUGACAAGUAUGAAAACACUGUCUUCCGACCAGAAUAAUUCAAACACUCUUCAAACUAACUGUAGUACAAGUAGUGAACAUAAUGGAACUUUAGAAAAAUUACAAUGCACGCACUUGCUUCGUAUGGAAACCGAUCAUGCAGAGAUUGUCCGCGCAAGAUCCACAUGGCAACCAAAAUUGUAUCCCUCGAUGUAGGAAAUCUGAUCAGUUUCGUUCAUGUUGGCCUUUUUGUUUGGUUUUCUGCGGAAUAUCUGUACUGAAUGUUGUAAUUUUCAUGUAAGACUGGGAUAAAUUGAUUGCUGAUUUAUUCAUAAAUUGUAAAAGAUCACAGAGUUGUGAGUGGUUCUACAUAUCAUAAUUUGAAUUUUCAGAAUGAAUAGAUUAGCAGAAGUUGUGACAUUUCAGCUCUCGCACUCCACAUGUAGGAAAUAACUUGCACCAGAGUAAAUUAUAUUCGAAAUUUUAUGAGAGACGACAAAAAAUAAGUCUUUAUCACUUCAAGUAGACGUUAAAACAGAUGUUCAAAUAUAUCAUUUCUGUUAUGAUCUAAGUGAUUGUUCAAAUAUAUCAUUUCUGUUAUGCACAUACUUCGAGAAUAGUUAAGUACUAAGUUAUACACUAAUUUCAAGCAUAUUUAAGUAUUAAUUAUGGUACACACGUACUCAGAGGACACCUAAGUAAUACUCCCUCUGUCCCAUUUUAACUGAUGUUUGACUUUUUAACACGUAUAUUGAGGUGUAAAAAAACAAUAUCUACACUCAAUAAAAAAUUUCAGUUCUUACAUCAAAUAAAAGUUUAGACUCUAAACUUUUAUUUGAUAUAAAUUUUAUAAAAAAUAAUCAUGUUUAGAUGUAAUUUUUUUAACAUCUUAAAAUACGUGUAAAAAAGUCAAAAGCAGUUAAAAUGGGACGGAGGGAGUAUUAAGUUAUGCGCAUAUUUCCAGAAUUAGAGACUAAGUCUUGCAUAUUUAUCAAGAUUUUACUUAAUGUUUAAGCUGUAAAUCAUCUCUAUAAAUAGAGGAGUUGUACUACAUAUCAAAAUGACAAUUUAAUAGAACAAUUCAUUUUCUAUGUUCUUUCUCUUGCUCUUUUCUCUAUAUAUUUUACUCUUUCACAUAUAUUAAUAGAUAAUUGAAGAUUUACAACACGAGACUCUGCCUAGGGGAGUGAGAUACCUAGGUAGGCUUCCAAAAUGGGCCUAUGGGGAACCGGAUCACACAUUAGGAGACAGAUAUCGGUAGGUGUCGAGCCCGAUAUAUGAAAAAUGAAAUUGUUAAAAUAUGUCCUACAUCGCUUGUGAAAGUGGCAGAAAGCUAGAAUUUAAGCCAACUAGAUAACUUCAUUAAUAUGAGGUCUUUUGAAAGAUGUCCAAAAAAAACACAGGCUCGGGCCAAAUUGGACAAUAUCAUACUAUCAUGGAGAUAGGCACGCUUGGCAGGCCCAACAGUUAUUACUUAAAUUAUUAAAUUAUAAAAAUUGAUAAUGGAAACCUUAUUUUAUUAUUAUAAAUUUACUAAUAAACUAAAAACUUCCAACAUUAUAAUAAAUUCACAAACUUAUCUUUACAACUUAUAUUAAUAAAAUCUUUGUGCAUCCAAAAUAUAUAAAAGAAAUAUGGUUACAUUUAUAGAAUCAUUCGGUUCCAGAUCACUACAGAUCAUAUUAUAUCUAUAUCAAUAAUAUAUCACUAUCUCGGAAAAUCUAAAUAUUAUCUAUAAGAUUAUAUAAAGGGUCGUGCGUCUAUGGUCAUAGCCAUUGUUCACUAUAUCUGGUUUUAAGAUAGUGUGUAAAAGGUAAUAUGAUCUGCUUCUUCCAACUGUAGCCGACUGAUGAUUAUGAAUUUUAGGCUAAUAUCAAAUUAUAUGUAUAACUAUUCUGUGACAUUCAUAUUGAAAAGAUUCGUGGAUCUAGGUAUUGUAUAAUCGUCUAUCUUCGAUUAAUUAAACAUCCUUAUUGUUGUAAUUGUUAUUUUAGUGGCAUAUAGGUGCAUUUCACUUUUAUUAACAAUAAAAAAAGUAGUUGUACUAAUUUAACAUGAUACUUAUUACUUGGAUUUUCAAAGCAUUGUAUAUGCAUUGAUUUGUAACAAUUGAUCUGCAUGAAAAUAAAACUAAAUAUCGGUUAACAUAUAUAGUUUUUUAAAGCGAGGAAUAUAUGGCUAAGAAGAUUGAAAGCUCCAAGAAAAAGAAACUGUCUGCACUUGUCGUGGAUUUUUCUAGCGUCUGCCGGAUGGUUCAUGUUGCAUGCCUUAGAAGGCAUGACUUUGAAACCUAUGCUGUUGAAAAUGGUAGGGAAGCAAUGGAUCUUAUCCGUUCUGGAGAACAUUUUGAUGUCAUUUUUAUGGUUGUAGAGAUGCCAGUUUUGAAUGGUAUUCAGGUUAGUCAAACACACACACACACACACACACAAGGAUUGUUGAAGUGUUAAAGAAUACAAAUAAUACUCAAAUAUUAUUUUCAUGAUAAUAAUGAUAUAUAAUUUCAUUUCAGGCUACUAGGGAAUUGCGUGGAAUGGGAGUGAAAACCAUGAUUGUUGGAAUAGAGUGUGAUUUAGGCUAUCUCGGUUAACAUCCUAUAAUUGCUGGCAUGGAUCGUAUUUAUGAGAAGCCCAUGACACAAGAGAUCGUCAUAUCUGUUCGUCAAGCGCUUCUAAACAACUACAAUAUUUAGACAUUUAUGAAUUCAAUAUGUAUCAAUGUUAUAAUAUUAUAAAUAAAGUCUUCAUCUAGUUCCUUAUAAUUCUAAUAUAUAUAAUUUUGUUUAUGAUAUUUUAAGUCAGUUGCAAAAUUCAUAUUAAAAUACCUAAAUAUUAUCACAUUAUGAAAUAUAGGAACUUAGGAAAUAUAAAUAUUAUAACCCAUUUGGUACUUGUAAGCUCUAAACAAGCCAGUGUUUUAUGAGUUCAAAUUGAAAAUUUUAUGAAGAUCAUGUUUUGAUACAAGAAAAGUAUUUACAUGACACUUAAAGUAUGUGUACAAACAAAAUGAAAAUGAUAAUAAAUGGUUAACUCGCAAACUCAUAACUAAGUAUUACUAAACCUCAAGGAAAGUCUAUACAUUCAAGAAAAUAGACAUCCACCUUAGUAGAGAAAUUGAUCAAGAAAUCCUUUACACAAGAUUGUAAGUUCAAAUAGGAGUUUGUAAAAUCAAUGAAAGAAAAAUAUUUAAAAGUUUCAAUCAUGGUGAAAAAGUUCCUUAUUGAAACCAUUUACAUGAUGUUUUUCUCCCGUAACCAAGACUUGAUCAAACAACUAGAUAACAAGUAUUUAAACUCAAUUAAAACUUGGCCUAUGUAGGACAAUUGACCUAAGAAUAAUUAAAGUGCACUAUCUCUUUACUCCACAAAAAUUAUUCUUUGUGAUUAAAAUUUCUUCUUGUCAUUCUAAUAUAUCUAUUUUCUAAUCGCAUCAUGAUCUGUCUUUGUUCCUGGUAAUUCCACUACGAAAUCUGGAAUUAUAUUGGCAAGGCUGUCUAGUCCCCAUAUUACUUGUUAGGUCCCAAUAUAAGGGUUAAUUAAGCUAGAAGAAGGUUGAAUAGCUUAAUUACCAGAUUUAAAAAUUAAUAUAGUAUAAUAAAAUGUUUAUCCCCUUUUUGAAACAUGUAUCGAGAGUCUAAGCUAUUAAUAUGUGCGAAAGUAAAGGAGCAAAGAAAGAAAAAAAAUCUCAUGAGAGAAUUUAUUCUGGUUCGCGAUGGCGCAACCCCUAACCGACUCGCUCACCCCUACUUCUAGUCCCCGAGUUCUUCCCCGGACUCGAGUUUUUCAAUAUUAGAAGAAAUGUACUCCUUAUAGCAUGUGGAGAAGCCUUUACAAAUUUAACUCUUGACAAGUACAUCCUCGUUACUACCUCACUAUAAAUGUAAACUACUAAACUUACAAGACUCGUGUUGGAACUUAACCCCCCGUUACUUCCUCAAAGUCGUUGUAUCUCCAGGUGUAGCCUUUGAACUUCUAAACUUUUGUGGGUCGUGGAUCUUAGGUCUUGGGUCUUUCAUCUUCCUCAUAGUUCAAAAGACGACUAACUCCCCAUCAGCUCGUCUAGGACUUGGGUCUUAAAACGAAGAUCACCUCACUUCACUUCACCUUACAACAAAUUUUAGAAAAUAAUAUAUACGACAAAUAAUUUUGUAUUUAAAAAUGUUUUGACUAGAUAUGUCUAGGCCGAGAGUGAUGAUAAUAUUCAAUAAAAAAUAUAUAACUUGUAUACUUUUCGAAUGAUAAACAAUAAAUUGAAGUAUACUUCAUAGUUUACUCCAAGCUAAAGAUAAUAUAUAUGUGGAGUAAGGUGAGUAUUAUUUCUUUGAUAUAUAUAUGAUCUUAAAUAAUCAAAGAAUACUUGUAUUCAAAAACUCUGUUUAGAUCAAAUAAAUAAUAUUCAGAGUUUUAAGUCUUUUUAGGCUUGAUGGAACAAGACUUAUAUUAUUACUUCGAUAUAUGAAAAUACGUCUAUUUUCGAAGUAAUAAAAUUAAAAGGUCCUUGUUUAAACUUUGUAGCUAACGGCUUCUUUUUGAUAUAACUCUUCUCUUUAUAUAGUCUUUUAAGAAAAGGUUAAAUCAAUGACUGUGAGGCCUUAAACCACUAUUGAAGGGAGGAUGAAUAUAGCGGAUACAAUCAAAUUCGAAUUAAGAAGACAAUGUAAAUCCUCGAAUAAGCUUUUAUUGAAUUUAUAAUACAUAAUUUAAAAUUGUUCAGUGGAAUACAACUACUCUCUCAAAGAUGUUUGUUUAUCACUAAGAGCUGCGAGGUUACAAGAGAAUAAUAUUCUUAAUAUGAAAAGUGACAUGUAUAGUGUAAACCUAUGUUGUAUUUAUAUAGCACACAGUUACAAGAUAUCUUCUGAUUGAUAUGAUAUUAAUCUUAUUCCUGAAAGGUAUCAAUCAGAGAAUUCUAUACUAAUCUUCUUGAAGUCCUGAGCUGUCGAAUCUUCAUAGAGUAUAUCUUCUUUAUUUAGUCCAGAUCUACUCCUGAAAAUCAGCCGCUACAAACUCUGAAGAAAAUCUACCUUGAGUAAACUCUGAUAUCUUCUUUGUCUCAGCAAACUCUAAUUUCCUGUUAAACUCUGAUAUGUAGGUCUUGUACUAAAUAAAUAGUUAAGUCUGAUAUCAUCAAAUAUAUUUAACAAUCUCCCCCAAUUUUUGUAUAAUUAAAAAUGUACAAGUUCUAUUUGAUGAUGUCAAAAACAUUAAGUAAAUGCAUCUAUUGAAUUUAACAAUACAUUAAAUUGCAACUUACAAUACUUCAGCUACUGAAAAAAUUUACUCAGUCAGAUUGUACCCAUGGUGAUUUCUCACAUAAUCUGAGAUCAAAUUGUUCUCAGCAGCCUUCAGAGUUUGAAACAUUUAGGCUUUGAUGAAUCUCAGCUCUGGAUCAUCUUCAUCAGUCUGAUAAAUGGAAGCUCUUAAAGCUUUUAUCUUGUUUCUGCCCAUUCCAUCCCUCAACCUUAUGAUUCCAGGCCUUGUAGAUUCUACAUUGUAUACCAGUACAUGUCCUUUAAAAAUGAACUCCAGCUUUGAGCUUCACUAAUUCAUCCCCACAACUUGACCAUCUUCUGAUAUAUACUUAGGGAUGCACACACCAUCAAAUUUUACUCUACAUGAACUUUUCUUGUCUAUCACAGUCUGUUUGAUAAACUCUGGCUAUCUUUGAGUUGCUUCAUUCUUCACCUCCAGAAGGUAUAGUGUCCUCUUCAUCAGAGUUUGAUAUUCUAGCCACGAAUCUUCUCCUUUUCUUGGGAGGAGAUUUGGGAAUUUUUGCUGUUUCUCCACCUUGUUUUUCCAUAGAGGGUGGCUCAACUGUGUGUGAGGGAUUGAAUGGUGAAGAAACCCUUGGGUCUGAUGUCACGGAGGGACCAUCAGACUUAAGUUGUUUCUUUACUUUUACAAAUAAUGCCUUUUGAGAGGCAUUAGAGGAUUGUUUGGUGUUUGAGAUGGGUUUGAAGAUGUGGUGAUGUGGAUGGACAGUAGAGGAUGAUAGUGAGGGUCCAUAGACAUUGGGGAAGACCUUUUUUAGAGUUUGUCUGACAGGGUUUGGAAUUUGCAGAAAUCUCAAAAACUGUUUCUUUUUAUUCUUGGAUCAGAGGAUGAGAAAUGUCAUUAAACUCUUAAUAGUGAGUCAGAUAAGAAGAAAAAUGCUUAAACACUNUCUGCUGUAGAGUCAACUAUGAUAAGAAAUCACUUGAAGUAUGUGUCUUUCAAUUUUAUUCAUUUCAAAUUUAUAUCUUUUUAGGCAGGAAGCUUUUCAGGGUAAGUGAGUCACAACCACCAUCAGAGCAUAUUAUUCUUUUAUUAAGUCAAGUAAUUCUCCAGUUUUCAGAGAUUGUAAAAAGUCACCAAGAAAUAUGAUUUCUGGUGCAAAUAUGCUUAAUACCAGCAAAACAUUUCGGUCUUUAUUUUCACAAGACACUUUGUCAUCUUAGAUUUCAAAGGAGUACUUGAUUUUUAAUUUCUAUUUUGGCAAAAAGGCAUAUGUAUCUUUGAGAAACCAAAUUUAAAAAAUACUAACUCUAAGCUCACAGAGGGAAUAAUCAAAUGUCUAUCACUAACUGUCUAAUUUAAUGUUAAGAUUCAAGAAGUAAGCCAGUCUAAGUUGCAGGUUAAAAAUCAUGUUUGUGAAUAAGAAUUCCACACAAGUAAUUUUUAUGCAUAGAGGUCAUGACUACUGAACAAGAAAUUUGCAAAAUUAUCCACACUGGAUUUCUAAUUCAAAGUAAGUCUUUAUCACUUCAAGGAAACUUUAAAACAUAUUACUUUGUUCAAAUAUAUCAUUUCAACUACUUUUUCAUUAUUCUAAAAUUAAUCAUCGAUUAAUCCAUAUUUUGUAGCUUAUUAAAUUGGUCAAAUCUCCGAUUAUUUAAUUAAUAAUCGAUUAAUCUCCGAUCAACCUAAUUAAUUUCUAAUUAGUUAUUCUUUCAUGUCUUCACUCUUCACAGUUAAGUCUGAUUCCUACUUUCUUCUUAUGUUGAUACUUAAUAUGCAUAACAUAUCAAUUUGAUUUUUUAAGCAAGAGUCGAUAUACAUAUAUAAAUGAGAAACGAUAUGUAGGUGGUUCCUUUUAGAUAAGUCUUUUUCAUUUUUAUAAUUUUAUGAAAUUUUUGAAUUAAAAGUAUAAAAAAUAUAAGUUACUUUUUUUAGUCUUGAAUAUAUUCAAAUAAAGUUUGAAAACUAUUUCUUUUCAGUAUUGAAAGAAAGUUUCAAAACUAUCUUUUAUCAGUUUUAAAAUUAUUAAAAAGCAAUUUCAAAUUGUAGAAUUGGUACCCUUAAAAAGACACGUUGAAUCCGAGGUUCCAAACUACAUGCAGCAGUGUAAGGCCCAAAUGCAUCUAGCAAAUGAUAGGCCCAAAUGAAAAAUUUGUGCUCUGGGGCAUUAGUUAUGGAAGAACGUUCUCAAGUAAGCCCAACCUUAACUUUGCAUUAGUCGUUAGUACCAACCAUUCAAGAAUCAAGAAACCAUCGGCCACAGCUAAAAAUGUGUGCUACCAGUUGGGCCUCCACGAGAUGGGCCAAGAAGGAACCCAAGUAAAUUAAUUUUUAAAUUGAAAAAUGUUUCAAGAUAAAAAAACUCAGGUCUCUACCAUGUAAAAUUUAUGAACUUUGGAAUAUGAGAUUUCGUAGCAUUUUUUCACUAAAAAAAAAUAGAUAAAACUUAUCUAAUAAAUAUAAAAACAGCUUUUUCUUACUGACAUUUUUUUUUAGAGAAAAACGUUUGUUUACAUAAUUAUAUUUGGAUUUUUUAGGGAAAAACAUUUGUUUACAUAAUUAUAUUUGGGUUUGUUUAGUAUGUGCAUAUAAUCACAUGCUAAAGUUUAUAUGUUUGAGGGAUUUUGAUUGGUGUGGUGGUUGCAUAUGUAGUGGGUUCAUCAUUAUCAAUUAUAAUAUGAGACUCAAUUAAAAAUGAAUCAAAUUUAUAAAAAUUUCGUGUUUAGCAUAUACAUAUAAGCACACAUCGUAAAAACCGUAUAUUUUCUUCCAUCACGUCCCACUCGCGAGUGAAACAUGAAGAGGUUGAGAAAACAUGUGAGCAAAAAGUGAUGAGAGAAAAUGAAAUGAUUGAGAAUUACCAUCGCAAUAAUUAAGACAUUGGAUCUUGCAGCUACAAAUAAAUUUACUUUUCCGCAUUGUCAGUACUCAUGUUUUAUUCCGUUCCAAUUGAUAUGAUUUUUAAAGUCGCUUAAUGUCAAAAUGGUUCAGAUAAUACUGUUUUAAUUUCUGAUUUUUCUUACCUUUUAUUUUUUGAUGGUACCUGCGUAAACAGAAACGGACCCAUCAUGUUUUUCACUCAUAUUUCACUUCCUGUUUAUCUAAUUUAAUUUUUUAUAUAUAAUGAAUUAUAAUAAUCGACUAUAACUAUAAUUUAUAAUCUUCUGCGAUAUCAAUUUUGAUAUUUUCAUCAGCUAAUUGUUUUAGCUCAAAUUAAUCUGAACCGUGAUAUAUAAUAAUAAGAAAAGUUGAUAUAAAUGUGAAGGAAUCACCAUCCCAAAAAAUAAUAUACUAAAUCUUAUUUUUGCCCGCAAGGGUUGGUUCUGGUUAAAGGAGGAGACUUGUAUCUUUUUUGUCACAGGUUCGACUCCCGAAGGGAGCAGAAUUUAAACGGUUUAAUUCACAUAAUUUGCAGGCGGCUGCGGGUUCCUACUUGAAAAAAAAUAAUUAAUUUUAGUACUUUCAUUUUCUACAACAUAAAACCGCAAAGAUACUUCCUUUGUGUCACAUCUAUGAUUCACAAUCCAAUUUGCAAAUUUCAUUCAAUCAUAUUAGUAAUUGAAUUAUUAUAAAAACGUCAUUAUAUGAAUUUAUAAUAAUGCUAAUUAAACAAGGCCGAAGGGAGUCGAUUUGCACGCCUGUUUCAAGAGUGUUGGUGAAAGGAAAGCAAAAUAAGUUGGUACAUUGUAGCUUUGCCAUGUUUAGAUAGGCAGACAGAGAAGGACUAAAUGUAUGUUGCGGCGUUUUUUAUUAACACCUUCUGUAUUUUUAUUAUCUCCGGUUUAUAUGUCUUUUUAUUUCCGUGAUAGUGAUUUAUUUUGAUCGCACAAAUUAAUAUUUUGUUAGUAAUAUGUCGCACCAUAUUAGUCCAGGCACAUAUAUAGCUUGUUUUUAUAAUAACGUCGAAUUUAUACGCCAAAAUGGCCUGAUACUGAAUGUAAAGUUUGCGAUAUAUAGAAAUUUUUGGUCUGAGUAGGAGUCGGCUAAUUUACUUGAAAUCUCGUAGUAGUGAAUUUGUAUUUACUUAUAGUUGGAAAAUUAAUAUUCCGUAUAUAAUUGAAAUUUUUUUAAAAAAAUUGAUUCAUCAUACCCAUACAUAAAACCCACCUCCCUACCCCCACCUCCCUACUUGGAUAUGAAAAGUUCAUAUUUUAUCGGUUUGAGAUAUGAGUUUCAAAAUAAAAUCAAACACCAAAUAUGAGUUAGAAUGGAAAAAAAUCCAUAGUUAGAUACCUGAAAAUGUUGAACCAAACGAUUCCUUAAAAUGUAUUUAUUCAUAGACUCGGCAACAAUUUCGAAUCUUAUUGAUAUUCUUGCCAAUCAAUUUAGGUUCCGCAGGAAUAACGGAGAUAAAAUUCCUCAAGGACAAACGGGGAAAAAUGUCAUAUCAUCUGAAUGAGUCGAUGUACAAUAUUAGUCCAUGAAUAUACGAAAAUAUGUAAGAUAACAAAUGAAAUGGACAGAGCAAGCUGGCUUUUUAACUUAAUUAUUAGUACUAACAUUAUAUUCUGGGAGUGUGUACAUUGUUUUCAGGAUACAUGCAGCUUUUUACGUAUGCAUGGAGUACCUAAAAGCUUCAAUCUCUGCAGCUCCGGCCAACCCCCACUCUACAGGACUCCUCUAUUAAAUCUAUGCCCAAUUAUUACCAUCAGGUACACAAAAGCUACAAGAAAGAUGCUACUUGUUGAGUGAAAGUACACGCAUUAAUGGACUCGAGAAACACAGUAAAAAUUAAAUAUCCCCACUGUAGUUUAACAGAUGGUAUUGAGAUGAUUUUCACUUUAUGUCCGGUUGCAGAACAAGGGGAGGGCUAGCCCAUGCCCAGUUUCAACAUUUAUAAAGAUUUCAGAGUAAACUCCAAAGUCGUUGUCAUAGUUUACACCGAUUUUCAAAAAGUUGGCUAGAGUUUCAAAUUCUGGCCGAACUUUGACUCCGUUUUUUAACGGGAGUAACGGACAGAGGGUAAAAAUGAGUUCUAAAUUCUCACAAAGGUGGCCAAACUUUGGCUCUGUUUUUAAAAAAAUGUGGCUUCCGUUAAGUGACGUUUAACGGUAGCCACACUUUUGAAAAGCAGAGCCAAAAUUUGGCCACUUUUUUGAGAAUUUGAAAUUCUGGCCAAAAUUUUGAAAAUCGGUGUAAAUUUCGGCUACAACUCUGAAGUUUACUCAAGAUUUUAUAAUAGUUCCGCCUUUUUCGAUGUCAAGAUGUAACUCACGAGACUCUCCCGUAUUCAGAACAUCUACACAAAGGGGGCGUUUGUUUACGGUUUAAAAGCCGGGCUUCUGAUUUAUAAGUUAGAAUCACUUAUUUAUACCGUUUGUGUAAAAAGUCAAGAAGUACUUAUAAAAAACUAGGAAUGCUAGCUUUUAUUUCAGGGCUUCUGCUUAUUUCUCAAACACUUUAAUCACUUAUAAGUCUUAACUUGCUUCUAAUUUCUACUCCAUUUUUUUAUUUUAAGCAAGAAACUCUUAUUUUAAACUCACCCAAACCGCCCAAAAAUGAGACUACCGUGUUCAUAGAUAAAUGACUUGAUAAAACAAAUUUGAGUCCGGACUAAUCUCAAAUAAUCAUUUUCGAUUUUAGCUACAACUAAUUUUGAUUCCUCGUCCUGCCACCACAUCUGCAUGAUUUGAUGAAUGACAAUUGACAAGGCAACCAAUACGGUAGUGAACACUGGAUAUAAACCAGCGAAUUUGCUAGCUAACCCACAGCCAAUAUUUUAAAGGGGUGCAUGUAAUUUUGGAUCGUACUCAUCAACAAAAUCUCAUCAACAAUUCCACGUAGCACCCAUUCAGUCCAACUUUAUAUCAUCUUGUUUAUCCUCUAUUAGUUAUUGUUUAGGAAAAGAUCUAAAUGCAUUUUGGGUAUUUAAUUGUCGUUGCUGUAUAUAGUACUAUUGUAGUUGGUGUUCCUAUGUGCACAAACUUACUUUAAAUCAUCUAUCCUUUAUAUACACGUAUGUGCUUGUGUAAGGGCAAAUUGAUUAGAAGAGAUGAGACUACCUCUACCAGUUCUGUGUACUAGAGAAAAAUGUGUAAAUGCAGUAUUACAGAUUUUUAAAGUUGUCCUGAGGGGAUACUUUAUUUUGGAUUUCGUCUAGUUCCCUAAUUUAAUAUAUAAAUAAGUUUCACACGCUGCAAAACAAAUAGAGGGCCGAUUUAACUUAUUCAGGACUAACAUUUAUAAUUGACAAAUAGAGGAAGUCGGUCGGUUUAAACUCAUUCUUGACCAACAAAUAAAAUCGGUCGGUUUAAACUCUCUCUUGAGUCUUGACCAACAAAUAGAGUCCGUCGGUUUAAACUAUUCUUCACCAUUAAAUAGUCCAUCAGUUUAAACCAUAAACUCAUUCCUAACCAACAAAUAGAAACAGUUGGUGACCGACAAAUAGAGACAAACUAUCCGAAUCAACAAAUAAAGAUAGUCAGUUUGAAUUCAUAUCCAACUUUGACCGACAAAUAGAGACAAACUAAUUCCGAAUCAACAAAGAUAGUCGGUUUAAAGUCAUUUCCAAUCAAAAAAUGAGACAAUCGGUUUAAACUAAUUUCAGAUAAAGAAAUAGAGGCCCUUCCGGAUUAAAAAUAGAAGUGAUCAGUUUACACUAAUUUCCAAUCACAUAGUCACAAUAAAAAGAUAGACUAAAAUCCAAAUAGAUAACAUUCCCGAGUAAAGAUCAAAUAGGCAAGAUAAACAUAUAGACUAGAAUCAAAUAAAUACUCUCGGGAAGUAAUAAAUAAACAGACUAAAACUGACCAUGUAAUGUGAUCGGCUUAAAACCCAUAAUGAAUGUGAUCUACCUUUAAACCCAAUUUUCAUCUACUAAAACCGACAACAUCUCAAGUCGGUCGGAAAUAAGCAUACAAGAACUCAAAGUUUUUGCACAUCAAAGAUUCAAAAACAUCGUAUCACUCUCAGAGGUGAGAUUACUUCUGUCAUACCAAAUCUUUGCAUCCUACAGUCAUACGAUUAAGCAAUUAACUGUUAUGCCACCACACCAAUGACAAGAUUUGCAUAAAAUUAUUGAGCUAAAGAGGAAUAAUUAUUGCUAAACUAAGGGAUAGCAUUGGACCCAAGCAUCUAGCUACAUCAUCUUCAAUUAACUAAAGGACCACCAUAUUUCCCUUUACAUAACACCACAAUAAGAAUCCAAUUUACAGAGAAGUGCAGUAAACAUGGCAAUCACUUUCUCAGGUACAUAUGAAACUAUUGCGCACUGUAAUUAACCCCCAGAUUCAGUUUCUGUUGCAUGUUUAAUACUUCAUUUACUGCACAACCAACAGUCAACAGAGACCCCCACUUGCAUCAUUAUCAACUGAUGCACUGUCGCAUCCAAAACCCGAAUAAACACACACAGAGAACCACACUCUCACACAUUCACAUAAAUACACAUAUAAAUAUGUUCAUUCACCUUAAAGAUAGCUACAUGUAAGAGUAAAACAAAACAAAAACAAAUAGUACAAGUACUUUUAUGAUAUUAUAUUACAUGUCCGUUUGCCCGUUUGACUUAUCUUAUAAAUAACUUAUAAGCUGAUAAACAUACGUAUUCUCAACGGUUUGCAGGGCCCACUUAAAAUCCGUUUUCGAGAUCCUAAUAUAGAAUCUUUAUAUAUACUCUAUCACACAUUUACGUAUGAAGGAUUCGAGAAUUUCGGACCCUUAUACGUCAGGAAUCCUAGGCGGAAGUCUUAGCAAGAGCCUAGAGUCACCCAGCUUAUAAGUUGGAGCCAAACAUGUAAUAUCCCUUGUGUUCAUACUCAAGCAAAACAAAAACUAGUACAAGUACUUUUAACGAUAUUAUAUAAGCCACAUUAUUUUGUUGUCUAAGUUUCCUAUUUAAUAACUAUUAAUUGUAGGUAAACCGAAUAAAAGGAACAAAGAGCUUAUGAAAUUCUACAGUUCUUUUGUAAAUUUAUACGACAAGGUCACAUGCAGAGCAUAACAAGAUACCAAAGAAACAAAAAGAGUUCAUGAUGAGCUAGCCAUGCCAUGGUCUUAUUAGUCCAUGAGUGCUCAAUCUCUCUCUUUAUUUACCAAAUUUACCCUCCACACUGUUUGAAAUUUACAUAACAGAGCAUGCAUUAGGGUUCUCAUCACUGAAUAUUUGUGGUGCUGGGGGGUAAGCAUACAUUUCAGUGGCCACCCUUGGAGGGUAAAUUUGGUAAUUCUGUGGAGGGUAGUAAUAGUAAAACUCAUUCUUCUUCAGCUCCAUUACCUCCAUUUUGGCCUCUUCUUUCUCUGCCGGUGGCGCAGUUUCCUCUGGCUUUGCCGCCUCUUUGUCCCCGCCUUCUUCCUUCUUCUCUUUUCCAUCUUCGGGUGCUUCUGGAGCUGCUGGUUCUCCGGCUUUCUUUCCGUCCUUGUCACCACCCUCAUCACCUUUUUUCUCUUCUUUAGCUUCCUCAUUUACCUUCACAUCUUCCUUCUUUUUCUCAGGCUCUUGCUUCACAACAAUUGCAUGCUUUCCGGUUUUUCUGUACACAUGUUCAACCAAUUUCAAGGGGUCGAAUACUCCUUUAACCGUCACUUGCGAGCCUUUGAGAUCCGGGUCUGCAUUCUCAACCCCUGUAAUUACCAAGUAUUAGUGCUUAUGCAAUAAUCACAAUAUGAAUUAAUACCAAAUUCUCUCAUACUUUUAAUGCUCUACAGAAUGAACAUGAUCUGCUCAAACAAUAUACGCUCAUUCAAGCGCAUUAGAUCUUAUUAUUUCUUCCCACAUCACAACACAUCGAGAUAUAUAGUUGAUCACACAACAUUAAGAAAUUCAAGCAAACACAGAUUACAAAACCAAAUUUAACUAAAGUUGAGAGGAGUCGUUAAACCGUGUAACUCGCCAUAAAUUUCAUCGCAAUCAAACUAAUUUAAUCAGACUACACUUCGAGAAAAAGAAAUCAUUAAAGUCGAACGGAAUCUCCACAAGUGCUUAUUCUAUUCCACAUUGAGAAUAUACAGAUUGUGAUCAACUCUUAAACAUGUGUGUGCAUAUACAUAUGGAAUCGUGCAACUUUUUUUAAAACUCAACUCCUAGAUUCAAUAAAAGCAAAUAAUAAUAAAUAAAUAAAUUUGCCCAUACAGCUAAAAGAAGAAGCAAGUGAUAACAUUAUAUAACAAAAAAGAAGAAUCAGAGAAAUGAUAAAGAAUGUGCAGGCAGAGAAAAAGAGAAAAGAUCUGAUUCAUCACCUUUCAUUCGCUCAAUUCGUUUCUUGAUCUCCUGAGCACAAGCCUCACAAUGCAUGUGGACUUUUAACACCACUGUGAUCACCGGAGGCUGCAAUCAAUUAAAUUAAUCAGACCCCACUUAGAUUCAAUUAGUCACUAAUUAAUCACAAUUAAAAUUUAAUAAUAAUAUUUUUUUAUUUAUUUUUUUAAUCAUCCUUGCCUCUUCUUUUUUCUCUGGGGGUUUGGGAAUUUCUUUCUCCUCGGGCUUUUUAGGCUCUGCCGGCGGUGGAGGGAUCGGAGAGAGCAGCUCCACUUGACGGUGGCUCUUGUUCUGAACCCUAGCCAGUACUUUAAGCGGAUCUGCCUUUUCUCCCUUCACCACAACCUUAUGAGUCUUGCAGUCAGUCUUCACAUCUUCAACACCUACACCGAAAAAAAAAAUCAAAAAAAAAAAAAUUCCAAUUAAUCAAAACAAAAAUAAAUUCAUUACAUGUCCUAUCGUUUUCAUAACUAAUUAGUACACCGUGACACAGAUGAGAUGUCGAGAAUUCAAAUCUUGUCACCGUACCGAAACAUACACACACAAUCAAAGUCAUUAAUUUAGUGAUUACCAUCAAAGCCCUUGAGACAUCUCCGGACUUUCUUAGCACACCCCUCACAAUGCAUGUAAACUCUAAGCACGAUUUCUUGGGGUGGCGGAGGUGGCGGUGGCUCCUUCGGUGCUUCCUCCGCUUUCUUCUCAUUCUCCUCCGCUUUCACCGGUUUCUCCUCCUCUUUCUUCUCACUUUCCUCCGUUUUCAUCGGUUUCUCCUCCUCUUUCUUCUCCUCUAGCUUCUUUCCUUCCUGCAAAACCAUUGACAAACACAAAAUCAAUGAAUAAAUAAUUAAAAAAAUUAAAUCUUUGAUUUGAUGAAAGAAAGAAGAGUUAUUAGACCUCCCCCAUUGAGAUGCAACAACAAGAAGAGAUAGGCUUGAGAUGGAGAAGAGAGCUUGAAUUUAUGUUUUAUGUGAUGGGUUCUUUGUAUGUAUAUGUAAUGCAGUAGAGAUAAUAAGAAUAGUGGAGAAUAGCUGCUUGUAUGUGGGCAGUAGCGGUAAAUAAAUUAAAAUAAUAAUAAAUGAGUACAGUAAUUAAGGACCCGAAUUGAUUGUCGAAUGCAGUUUGUAUCGGGAUAUAUAUGAUUUUUUAUUAUAAGAGAUACAAAUCCAAUCAAAAUUGCUUGAUUUUAAAUUCAGAACCGAUUGAGUUUUAGCUGAGUAACUGUUCGAGGAUCUUCUAAUUUAUUAAAAAAUCUCCAUUUCUCAUAAAUCAAAUUUCGAUUCCUAGUGCCUGUCUGGCAAUUGCAACUUCUAACUAUUUUAUUAGGAAGCCGAUUUUGAUUUUUCUUGACUCAUUUAUGUAAAAAACCAAAAUUUUAUCUCAAAAUUUCUACUCCCUCCGUCCCCCUCAAUUGUUUACAUUGGAGGGGGACACGGAGACCAAGACAAUGUAAAAAAAAUAGUAAAAUUAGAUGAAAAGUGGGUAAAGUGGUGGGACCUAUCAAUAUUUAAUAAUAGAUUUGAGAUAGUGGAGGAAAGUAGUGGGUGUAAUAGUAGCUUUUAUGGUUAAAUAUGAGAUAGUAGGAGAAGAUAGUGGAUGUAAUGAUGAGAAAAAUUUACUAUUUAUAGUAGUGUAAAGAAAUGAGAGGGACAUCCCAAAAUAGUAACUGUAAAGAAAUGAGAGAUACAGAGGGAGUAUUUCUUUGCUAAACAGUUUAAUCACUUGUAUUAAUUUAUUUUUAACUUCUAAUCUAAACUUUUACUCACUUUUUAUAAAUUUACCAAACAGUCCCUCAAUUUUAGCAUUAUCGACUAAAUAAAUAAAGUGAGACCAUUUAGAUCUGGAGCAGCACACACUUAUGAGUGUGACGUGGCGGAGCUUUGGUGGUGUCAGCGCCACGUGCAACCUCAAGUGUUCACCACUUUCGCAUACACAGCCAAAUCUACUCUACUUUCCACGGCCGUUUCAAGUUCCUGUGGGUUCUGUUGUUUUGGUCCAAGAGAUUACGUUAUUCCCCUUGUAACUAAUUUGACAAGAACAAUAUCAAUUCUUUUAUGUGACGGUUUCGAUUUUUCAGCCCCUUGACCACAGACUAUAACUUAUGAAAGAAAUUAUUUUAUUUCAUAUAAUAUAAUAGAAGAUAUAAAUAUACUCAUCUAAUUAUAUUUAAUAUUUCAUUUAUUUUAUACCGUUUCUUAAUUUACAUGCUCCUUUAAUGUUUUGUAUAAUUAUGGUGAUAUUUUGAAAUUCAAAUUAUGCGCAUACAAAUAAGAUUCUCGCUAUAAUCUUAAUCAAGUCUUUUGGGAAUGUAAAAUGAUGUAAAAGAAUGAGAUAUAAUUUACUAAUGAUCAAAUUAGAAUAUGUAUAUAUAUUUGAUCAUUGUUUGAUUUGAAAGACAUAUCUCACUUGUUUUAUACAUUUUCUUAUUUUACAUGUUUCCUUAUUGUUUUGUACACUUAUCAUGAUAUUUUGAAAUUCAAAUCAUGUACAUUCAAAUGUGAUUUUGCCAUAAUCUUAAUCAAAUCAUUUCGGAAUCUAAAAUGAUGCAAAUAAAUUAUAUAUAAUUUGUUAGUGAUUAAUUAGUAUAUGUUUAUUUAAAUAAAUUGUUUGACCAUUCUGUGUUCUAAAGGACGCGAUUAAGAAUUUAUUUAAAUCAUCAGUCAAAUAAAUAUAAUUUAAAUUUUAUAAAUAUAUAGAAAAUUGUUAAAAUAUAUUUAAGAAAUAUGUAAAUUUCGGAAUUGUAUAUAAAAAUAUAAUAAAUUAGAAUUAAUAUUUAAUAUGUAUAGAAUAAAAUGAUAAAAUAGAAAGAGUAUAUCUCUUAUUAUUCGUACGAGAACAUUUUAUUGUCAGUAUUAUUGUUUUACAGUAACAUGCUUGAUAAUAGUCAACAACAUUAAUAUCAUCAACGAUUUUUUCAAUAAAUACAAUAUUCUUGUCAACGGUGAAAACCUUGAUAAAAUGACGUAGCAGUAAGAGUUUACUCCUUAUUGUCUGUACGAGAAUAUUUAGUAAUAGUUUACCCCUUAUUGUCCGUACGAGAAUGUUUAGUCGUAUUCUUAUUGUACGGUAAUGUGCUUAAUAAUAUUAAUACCAUACACGACUUUUCAAAUAAAUACAAUUUUCUUGUUAGCGAAUAAGAACGUGAUAAGAUGACGUAACAGUAAGAGUUUAUAUGUUAUUGUCCGCACGAAAAAAUCUAUCGUAAGUACCAUUCGUAAUGUUCUUGAUAUCAGUUGUCAAGAUCAUGCGUGACUUUUUCAAUAAAUAUAAUUAUUUUGCAUGAUGACGAGCCUCUAUCUUGAGAAAACAAUUUAUGAAAUCAUUUAAAUUGCUCUUCCUUUCUUUUUCAAGAGAAAUUUUUUCUUUUGAAACAAAGAAGACUUCAUAGUAUUAUAAUUAUACUUACCUACUUCUCACUUAUAAUAAUUUUUUUAUUAUAAGUAAUGAGUCAAUUAUUGUAACUUUAUCUAAACAACUGCUAGAUAAAUUUAAGAGCGAGCAAUAAUCAAUAAAAAAACAUGAAACACUUUAGAUAAACCCUUCUCUAAUAAGUAAACUAAUUCUUGGAAACUCUUUUACUUAAUUAGUAUUCAACUUGCUAAAUAUAUAUUACUUCUUUCGUCCUCGUGAAUUGUAUUUAUGGAAGAAGAGGAACGCGACACGAACUUUAAUGCUACCUGAAAUAUAUUUCUUUAAUUUACUUUUAAUUUAGUCGGAAUAAAUUAUAAACCAGUGGAAUAGAAAAACUCGUAAACAAUAAUAUAGAGUUAUCAACAUAGAUUAUUAACACCCGCUCCUCUCAAUUAAGAUCCCCGCCUAAAUAAAAAUUAGAAUUUGCAGAUUUGAGAGUCGAUUUCCAAAUUCAAGUUUCAGCCGCCACUUAUCAGCUCUUCAAUUUUCAUCUCCUUCAUUGAUAAAGCAUCUUUGUUCUUCCAUCAUCUCUCAUAUUCACUAUUUUUUUUAAUAAAAUCAAUAUUUGAUCAUUUUAGGAUGAGUUCUUGUUUGGUACCUUGUUAUCAAAGUUUUGUCCUUUGUUUGGAUGAUGUUUUGUGUUUUGCUCUUUGCUUGCUUUGUUAUGGGUUUCGUUAAUUUUUUUAAGAAGGAUUUAUAUUUUAUUUUGGGUGAUCCGCAAAGCUGACAUCAAAUAUGGCACGGUGGUGAUUACCGCAAUAUCUCACCUUUCACGACCAAAAAUUAUUACUAUUUUGAGGUAGUUGUUACUCCAAUAUCAGUUUAUGUAACUGAUAAUUCUGAACAUUUGGCUACAUAUGAUACUUAUGUGAAGGUUAAUGACAAUGCUACUAUGUUUAUAACUGAUUUAAGUUGGGUUACCAGAGAUAUGAUUGUAAUACUUUUUACAUUGAAGAAUUCAAAUAUUUUAUCUGUUAAACGAAGAAAACAAAACGACUAUUUGUUUAGCUGGUUUUUUGUUUGAUGAUCAGAUUGUAAUUGACAGUUCGGGAUUUAUCGCAGCCGGUUUUCAGUAUUUGAAUGAAUUAUUCGUCUUUCGUAAAAAAAAACAUACUCCCUCCGUCCUAUUUUAGUUGUCAACCAAAUGUGACAACUAAAAUGGGACGGGGAGUAGGUUUUUAACACAAUUGUCAUAUUACCCUAGUGGCAGUGGGCCCACCUAGGCCCAUUUGUACGACGUAAAAAGGAACCGGGCUUCACGCUUCUGUUGAAGGCGUUUGAACAGUGAAUACCUGAACAUACGCAAGUCGGCGGCUUCAAAGACCGGAUGACAUGCAUACAUAAUGACCAGAUGAGGCGGCCGACGUGAUCAACCGUGCGUGCCACCAGCUUACUUAGAUUUCUAUAACGCAUGUGGAAGUCACGUACAUUCACUAUAAACUACAUUCACCAACCCACCUUAAUCUUUAGUUCAACGUUAAUUACAACCAACGUCAAAAUCUGAUUCAACAUCAAAAUCAUGGAAUACGAGGAAAAAGAAAAGACCAGGUACGUUGGUAACAACUGACAGCUAGAUUAAAUCAUCAGUUUGGUAGUAGUAUAUCAUUUACGGCUUACUUCCUAUCUGUAGUUUAAUUUAACAUCUGUUAAAAACAAUGAAAUUUAAAUUUAAAAAAAAAAUGCUUAAGUUUUUCACAAAUUUAAAGUUCAAAUCAAAUAUUUUAAUUUGACAAAUUUUUCUUGUUAGCGUUGAGAUAUCUAAAAUCACAAACAAAAUAAUUAAUUAAUGCCCGACAAUAAUAUCGGAGAAAAGAUAACAAAUAAUACUUAUAAUAUUUUCAUGAGACCAAUCAAAUAAAUUUUUUAUCAAAGUAACUAAGAGUAAGUUUGGUGCUUUCUUAAAAUAAAAACUAAAAAUGAGUUGCUUAAAGAGAUUUUGUUUCUUUUGAUAUAACUAGUUGAGAAGCCGCGCGUUGCAGCGUCCUAUAAAAAUUAUAUUAAUGAUUCAAUAUUAAUAUUUGUAGAAUAAAAUAAUUUUAUGGUUGUCUAUAAAAAAUAUAUUAAUGUUUCAAAGUUAAUAUUUGUAGGAUAAAAUAAAUUUAUAUUAUAAAAAUCUUGAUGUAAUACCAAUACUACCAUAUAAAAUUGCAAAAUUGGACUAUAAUUCAUGGUGAAAAAAUGAAAAUAAAUUUAUACACGUAAUUAACAAUUUAAAGCAUGACGAAUCUUAAUUUUAUUUGUUUUUUUUUUUGAAAAGUAAUCAUGUUCUUAAAUUGUCACCUUCCUCCAAUUUUUUUGGAUUACUUGUGCACAAAAACAUCUAACUUAAAUAUAACUACCCUCUCAAAAGUUGCUUGAACAUCUAACUUAAAUAUAACUACCCUCUCAAAAGUUGCUUGAACAUCUAACUUAAAUAUAACUACCCUCUCAAAAGUUGCUUGAACAUCUAACUUAAAUAUAACUACCCUCUCAAAAGUUGCUUGAACGGAGCAAACAGAUAAUGCAUGAAUAAUUCUUUCAUGUAUACAAAGUAAAUAAUAUAAGAAUUAACAACAACAAACAUGUCCGAUGAACAAAACAAAUAUUAUAAAAGAAUAACCAACAAACAUACAUCACUAAUAAUAAAUUUAUUGACAUCAACUAUCAAUAUCAUGUCAAGACUAUAUUCUUUUCCCAUGUUUGAAUUUGUCGACUCCAAUAUAACGGUCUAUAAUUACAUUUGCUUGCAACAAUCUUUAAUAUAUAAACAGCCUUCACUUAUCGUUGCAGAAAAACGACACCUCCAAGUUAGAAAUCGAGCAAGAGAAAGGUAUUUCUAAUUUUUGAUAUUUUUCAUCCAAAAAUUUCAGAAAAUUAGAAAAAUAGAACGGAGCGAUGUGAGAGGCACCACCUACACGCUCCUCGCUUCUCCUUUAAAAAUCGAGUAAGAGAACUACCACCUACACGCUCCUCGCUUCUCCUUUAAAAAUCGAGUAAGAGAACUAUCAGGUAGGUUUGUGAUAUUGAGAGGGGAGGUUGUGUUUAGAUGAUCCAAAACCCUACGAUCUAUACGGGUAUUUAUAGAUGCAGAGAGACUUGUUUGCUACUCUUUACAAUAAUUAAAUAAUCUGUACAAAAUCAUAUUAAAAUUUUCAAGCUACUAUAUUCCAUAAAUAAUUUGUCUUUCCCAUAAUUAAAUAAUCUGAAACAAAAUCAACAAAAUCAACAAAAUCAGAUUCUGAAACUUGCUUCUAAUAUAUCCGAAACUAAAAAAAGUAGUUCUAAUUUUUGAUAUUUUUCAUCCAAUAUUUCUAGAAAAUUAGAAAAUUAGAACGGAGCGAUGUGAGAGGCGCCACCUACACGCCACUCGCUUCUCCUUUAUAUAAGUAUAUUGAUUUAAAUUUAUGUUUGCUUUCGAUAUAUAUGUAAAGAAAAAUAUGUCCAAGAAUUUCAUUGUUUGUCCCCUUUUGGUCAUUUUUUGCCCGGGUGUAUUGAAUUGAGAUUUUAAAGUAUUUUUUUCAUUCGUGAAAUCCGAAGAUAUUCGAUUGAGAUUGUUAAAAUCUUGAGGUAUACAAUUGAGAUUUUAAAUUAUGUCACUAAAUCUGGUGGUAUUCGAUUGAGAUUGUUUAAAAUCCAUUAAAAUCUGAUGGUAUUCAAUUGUGAUUGUUUAAAAUUUAUUAAAUUCUAAAGGUAUUCAAAUGCUGAUUGAUUUUUUUGGAUUUCAUAAAAUAAUGGAUUUUGUGGGAUUCUUUAAUGUAUUUGUUUUAAUUUUAAUAUUUUUGUUCUACAAUAUUUGUCCAAGUAUUUUGUCCGAAAUUGGAUAAAAUAUAAUAUAUUUGUUUUAAUUUUAAUAUUUUUGUUCUACAAUAUUUGUAAACUUCCAAUAUUCUACAGUUACAACAUAAUUGUUGUAAUCAAAAGAUUAAACAAUUAUUUUUAUAAAUUGCCGGACACUGUUCUAAAUAUAGCCCAUAAGAAGAAUAAUGAUCUUAAUGUUUGUUAACGAUAAAAAAUGUUAAUGAUUAACUGAUAAUUAUGUUUAUGACUACUUACAAAUAAUAAAUUAGAUAAUUUUGGAUAAUUAAAGAUAUUUUUUACGAUUAAACUAAUUAAAAAGUUAUGAUGACUAGUGCUCCAGCUUAAAUGCGGACUUCAUAGAACCUAAUACAAACCAAAUUAGCCUACAAAAUAGAAAUCAACUCGUAACUAGUUUUUAAUCACUAUUUUAACUACACAAAUCACCAGUUUGUACAUCAGAGCAAGUCCAACAAUGUCCUUAUAUUUGUGCCUUAUUAUUAAACUAGUAAUUUAUUUGAAUUAGUAUCGGAGAGAAGUUAAGAAGUAAGAGGAGAGAGAUGCAUUGAAAUGGUGAGAAAUUAAUAUUUUAAAGAGAAAUUUAGUUUAGGUGCCUCAAUAAUGAGGCACUUGUUGGAUGUCCUAGUGGUUUAAGGCACCACUAGGACAUUGUUGGAGCACACAUUUCAUCCAAUGACCUUAUAUUUUAACUUGGGACAUCAAUUUAGGACAUUGUUGGACUUGCUCCCACAACCACUAUCUUAUAUAUAAUAUAUAUAUAUAUAUAUAUAUAUAUAUAUAUAUAAUAUUUGCAUCGGGUUUUUAUCGGGUUUCGGGUUCGGAUCGGGUUUAAAUCGGGUUUCGGGUUUCGGGUCGGGUCUCGGUUCGGAAUACCUGAGAUCCAGAUCCAGAUCCAAACUCUUUCGGGUCUAAAAAUAAGACCCAGAUCCAGAUCCAGAUCCAAAAAAAUCGGGUUCGGGUAGACCCAAUCGGGUCGGAACGGGUCGGGUAUCCAUCGGGUCGGGUAAAACUGCCAUCCCUACAAUCUAGUCUUUUUGGUUUUCAUAUCGCUCUUUUUUCUCCUUUAUGACUUAAUGAAGUAACUGGCCAUACAUUUGCAUACAUAAUAUGCUAAAUGCAAAUCAAUACNNNNNNNNNNNNNNNNNNNNNNNNNNNNNNNNNNNNNNNNNNNNNNNNNNNNNNNNNNNNNNNNNNNNNNNNNNNNNNNNNNNNNNNNNNNNNNNNNNNNNNNNNNNNNNNNNNNNNNNNNNNNNNNNNNNNNNNNNNNNNNNNNNNNNNNNNNNNNNNNNNNNNNNNNNNNNNNNNNNNNNNNNNNNNNNNNNNNNNNNNNNNNNNNNNNNNNNNNNNNNNNNNNNNNNNNNNNNNNNNNNNNNNNNNNNNNNNNNNNNNNNNNNNNNNNNNNNNNNNNNNNNNNNNNNNNNNNNNNNNNNNNNNNNNNNNNNAUAUAUAUAUAUAUAUAUAAGAAAUAUAAAUAUAUACAUAGAUAUAUAAUAUAUAUGAUCAUUAUCUUCAUUCAUUUGUGACUUGUCACCAUCGCCUACCAUCAUUAAUAGCCACCUCUCUUUGUCAUUAUAACUUACCACAAGUCCACAACUAGUAAUUAUUUAUCAUCAUAACACCCUUUCACUCAUCACUUACCGCUCCUAUAAUUACAAAUGAUUAUCAAUAAUCGAACACCAAUAAUUAACAUAAGUAGAUAUUAUUAAUUAUGAAAACUAAAAAUUGUUGAUUUUACUGUAUAAAACUGUGACGAACGCAAUAUAAACUAUUGAUUUCUAUAAUUGUAAAUAGUGAUCAUGGAAUUGAUUUUAAUAUGUAUUUGUAAAUUGAUAUGUAUGUGGUCACUAGUUUGUAUAUAUAUAAUUACAUAAAUACAAAUCAAUUAAAAAAAAAAGCCUCGCCCAUCUAGAGUCCGAGCUAAUCCAUCAUGAACGAACUUACUAAAGCCUUUCCAAAGCCGGGCAGGCUUUGGAAAAGCUCUGGACAGUCCUGAAAAUCAAAACUUGCCCCCACCAUGAUUUUCACCCGCUUACAUCUUAAUCCUACUAGGUAGGAUACUCAUGUCUGUAUCUAGACACAUCUCGGAGUCAUCAAUGCUUCUCAUUCUGCUUGUAUUGCUUUGUAUUUUUUUUUUAUUUUAUAUUUUAGUAAUUCGUAUUGAAAUAUGAAACACACAAACACAUAUAUAUAAAUUUAACAAAAUUAAUUUGUUUUGACUAAUUUUUAAUAUAGUUUUUAAGAUUUUUACUACUAACAUGUUCUUCUUUGUUAAGCCUAAAACUAUGCAUUGGUAUCUUCUAAUUAUAGGAGAGAAUAUCAAAGGCAUGGCAUGUUAUUACUGUAUUCAUGAUUUUUCUUUAUAUUUUGUUCGCUUUCAAGUUCAACUUUUGCAUGCAUCAUGAAUUCAAAAUCUUUAUAAUCUUAUGAUUCAUGCAUAUAAAAAUAAUAUAGAAUCAUGAGAGUGAGGGAGGGACUGGACCUAAAAGUCCUAUACUGUUGCCUGGUCGGUGUUAAUUCAUAAAGAUAAAGGUGAGAAUUGACUUGGACAUGACCAUUGAAAAAUAUAUGCAUGGCCGACACUUAUAUUUUUCAUGGCGUUUCCUUUUGCAUUGCAUUAACAGUGAAAAAAAAAGAGUCAAGAAGCCGUGAAGCUCAAAGAGUUUCACAUCCAUCAUCUCGAUAUCUUUUCUAUCCUCCUCGUCGACUUUAGGACAAUUAAUGUUAGAGUUAGAAUAUAAAUUAUUCAGGCAUUUGUGAUUUGCCACCUGUUUUUGAUGACUUGCGUGAGUUUGGAGGUUGGCAAAUCAGAUGAAAAGGUUGAUGAUUACUCGUACAUGGAACUGUAGUGAAUCAAAGCUUCAACUUCUGUUGUAGUUUACGAGUUCUGUUGAGAAUGGUGAACAAAUCACAAACCUGACACAGUCAUCCGUAUAUAAAAACAGCUGGACACGUGACAAUCUCUCCGAAUUAUUAUGUAUUCUCCCAGUUUACAUCCUAAUAGCUUUUCCUUAUCAUCAAUACCCAAGAUAGACCCGCCAGCUGAAACGAGGAUAUAUAGGGGUAUUUGGCUGGGCUUUUAAGUCCAGUUUUUGGUUUUAUAAGUGUAGAAGCACUUAUAAAAAGUUAGUAAUGUUAAUUUUUGUUUCACGACUUCUACUUAUUUCCCACACACUUUAAUCACUUAUAAGUAUUAACUUGUUUCUCAUUUCUACUUCACUUCUUUACUUUGAGCAAGAAACACUUAUUUUAAACUCAGCCAAACGGCCCAUAGUACUAAAAUUUAUCGGACACGUAAUGUUGUCGGAAAAAAAAUGAAAAUUAUCCCACACAUUUUUUUUCCGAUUUCAAUUCAUAUCAGCAGUGGAAACAGUUCCCUGUAUGAUUCGGAACAUCUUGUUUGAUGAUUAGAGAAGCCAAAUUCAUUGAUGCAUGGGUGGAUUUUAUAACAGGUGACACCACAGCCGGUGAUGGUGGUGGAUGCAACACACAGCACGAUACUAACAUUCACUGUAACAUUGACUCUCAAAUGUCAACAAACCUUACAAAUCAAAGAACUCAACGUUGAGAUAUAAUUUGCGUAUAUAAAUGAUAAGCUCUUCAUAUAAUUACUUUUGAUAUGCACUAUGUUGCACGGAGUCGGAUACGAAAACAGGGACAUGAAACUACUAUUUUAAAAUUGGGAUAAUUAAUUCAUAUGUCCUUUAACUUUGGUCCAUUUUUGGUUCGCGUCCUUGAACUAAGUUUGUCAAUAUGCGCAUCCUCAAAUUUUGUAAAUUUCCAAUUCAUGUCCCUCUGUCAGUUUUUGACUAACGGAAGUUAGUGAAUUAGGGUUUUGAAUUUAUGGGUUUUCGAUUCGAUGAUGAAUUGAUGAAAGUGAUGGUAUAUGAAUCUUCGGGAGGUCAAACCGAAGACAUUCAUGUAGGUUUCGAUGGCGGAGGAUUGCCAGAAUGGUGACAAUCUCUCCGGCGGCCGGAAAAUGGCCAUUGAUUCCGGCUACCAUUUUGGCAAUCCUCCGCCAUCGAAACCUACAUGAAUCUCUUCAGUUUGACCUCCCGAAACUUCCCAUGCCAUCAGUUUCAUCAAUCCAUCAACGAAUCAAAAACCCCCAAAUUUAAGAUAACGUCCGUUAGUUAAAAACUGACGGAGGGACCUGAGUUGAAAAUUUACAAAGUUUAAGGAUGCGCAUGUUGACAAACUUAGUUCAAGGACGCGAACCAAAAAUGGGCCAAAGUUCAAGGACCUAUAAAUUAAUUAUCCCUUUUAAAAUUAUAGGUAUGGUUACAACAUUUAAUAAAUUAAUGUAAUUUUUUAUAUAUGUGAAACAUAGAUAAUAAUUUUACAUCUUUUUGACCAAAUUCUUAUUCUUUUUCUCCCACUCUUCGUCAAUCUUUGCCAUUUCAAGCUUAUCUUCUCUAGCGAUUUUUUUACAAACAGCAACUCCUAUAUUUUUAAUUUGAAGUAUAUGUGUCCUCACUCUUAAAUAGCUUCUAAAUUGAAUUUCACCACAAAAAUGGCACUAGUAAUUCCAGGUCUCUCCGGUUUUUUCUUCUUUUUAAAAUUAUAGGUAUGGUUUCUUCUUCUUUUUCUCUAGUUCCUAUAAAAAAGGUUGAUUUUCGGACUUCCGAUCAUUGGCGAUAACCGUAGCAUUUCCACUUCCACUACCAGAACUCGUACCACUGCUUUCAUAUUCAUACUCCAUUGAUAAUGUGAGAGGGAGAUAGAGAUACGAGAGUGGGUUUCUGUAUGUUUAUACAGUAUUAAAAAAAUAAAGGUUGUUGCAAGCAAAGAUAGUUAUAUACCGCUAUCGCGUGGAUUUAAGUUGUUCCAAGCAAAGGUAGUUAUAUAUCGCUAUCGCGUGGAUUUAAAUUGAUGUUCUGCGGACAAUUAAUCCAAAAAUUGGAGGAAGGAGUCAAUAAUAUACCCCUACAUGGAUUUGAGUUCACGCGUCUCACGCGCAUGAUUAAUGUUCGUAUUAAUGACAAGGAUAUAUGCUCAGGUAUUUUUUUUCCAUACAAAAUAUUAUUAAUAUAAAUCUAUAUAGUAUAUGUGUGUGUAUAUACUUACAAUAUCUUAAACUCCAUGUUAUAUAUAUAAUAUUAUUUUUUAUCUCUAUUUAUAUUUAUAUAGAUGUUGUCGGUUGCUUGACAUACGUAAGGGGCAUUGACAUAGGUGGGUGGUAUCAAAAUUAUCAGUGGCGGGUAAAAUAAUAGAGAUCUAAGAAUCGUGAAAGAUAAGUUAGUUAAUGAAAAAUUGCUUUAAAUCGUUAAUUAUGUGUAGAAAUUUAUUUUUAUUUUUUCACUCAUGAAUUAUAGUCUAACUUACAAUUUUAUAUAUUAAUAUUAGUAUUGCGUCGAGAUUUUAAUAAUAUAAAAUUAAUUUUAUUCUACAAAUAUUAAUUUUAUAUUAUUAAUAUUAAUUUUUAUAAGUCGUCGCAAAGCGCGACUUGUGAACUAUUUUAUUAUAACGUAAGUUGGUAAUGAAUCUACGUUUCGUUCACUUUUUUAAACCUUUUCUAUAGUUGAGGACAAAAAAAAUCAAGUGUUUCAUUAUUAUGUUCUUUUAAUGGAAAUAGGAUUACAAUAUCAAACGUCAAGUCUAGACUCUAGAGAAUAAAUAUCGUACACCUUUACUUCGAGGUGAUUGUUCGUUUUGUAGAACGUAUUGGGCUUUAAUUAUGGGCCUCAUGUUCACACACUUGAUAAAAUUGCUGGGUUACCCAAUGAUAGAUUACAAGUACAAUGGUCAUUAUGUUGGCCCUGUUCCACUUUUAUGUAGUUUGUGUAGUUUAGCUUGUCUCGGUUAAGUUAGCUGGGGAAUAUUUGGUAACAUUCUGGACUUGUGGUAGACAUAUUUUUCGAUUUUAUGGGAGAAUAAGCAUCAUUUUAAUGCUAUGUUUUAAUGCAAGGAGCCAAGGAGUAUAUAUAAUUAAAAAAAAGUGGAUAUAUAUUACAUAUCUUUGUAUUUAUAAUAUAACAAUACUAUUUCUUUCAAAAAAAACAAUACUAUUAAAUCUGUAAUUUAAUUAAGUUAUUUUAGAUUGAGUUGUUAUAUAUGCCUCGUAUCAUUAAUUUGACUUAAUUUCAAUAUUUAUAUUUAUGUUGGAUUUUUAUAAUUCAAUAUUCCAAAUAUAACAUAGCUAAGAUAGGUAUUUAUUUAAUUUAUAUAAAUUUUGAAUAAAAGUAUUUAUGUUGUGUUUGGUCAGGUGAAUGAAUACAUUUCACACCCCAAUUUCUUCCAUGUGUCUGUAAUAAAUUCGUAGGAAAAAUAAACAUCAUUUAUUAUCAUAGGAUAUAUUUUAUUUGUUACAAUUUAAAAUAUUAACAACAUAAUAUUUUUAAAUUAUAGCCAACUAUAUAGUCAAUAUUAUCGAAAAACAAUGUCUUUCAAGUUCAGCAAAUUUUACAUAAUAUCUCAUGGGUCCAAUUUAAUCAAUCAUUAUAACCAAUGACAUUGAGAUGCUCUUUAACAAUUUUAAAAUACUAAAUAAAGGUCCUGAGUCCUGACUCCUGAUAGAGUUUCUCCAACUUAUGAAAAUAUCAUAUUCAUGCAUACAGAACUAAUAUAAAAUCAUGGGAGGGAGGAACAGUACUGUCCUGUAUAUAUUGUUUCACUAAUGAAAUUUACACCUUAUCAUAUAACUUUUUUUUGAAAAAAGGAAUUAAUUCAAUAAUAAAAAAUCAUACGGCAUCUACCAGAACAAUCGAGUCGAACAAACAUAAAACAGAUCAUAUCGCUGAUUAAUCUAGUAUUUAUGAAAACACAAUCAAGCGAUUUGUUGAAAUUGAUAUAUGUACAUAUAUCGUAUUCACCAAAACCAGUUGAGCUAUCGAUCGUAGUUGCAAACCCAUAUUAAUCUUUAUCACUGAAUCAAACCCUUGAAAAUCCGGCGAAUCCAACGUCGUAGAUAUUGAAUCACACCAAAAAAAAAAUCUCGAAAGAUAGAAAUCGUUACCUGGGGAGGAAUAUUAUUGAAAAACAAGAAUAAAGUAAAGAAAAUAAUUAAUUUGGGACUUUUCACCGGUGAAAACGAUGGAAGCCCUGACGGCUGCUAGAAAGAAAGAAGAAUAUUUUUGAAUUUUUGUGAACAAUCCCACUAUACAACUUGCAUUGCCCAAUUAGAGUCUUUAUCAGAUAAAGGUUAAGGUAAAAAUCACGUGACUUAGAACAUAUAUUGUUGUUUUAACACUGUUUUAUUAUGUUAAUUUGUACCUGUGUACUUUUAACAUUUAAUUAAUAGGAAAAUGCAGGCUACCAAAAGACAUGCAUAACUAUCCAAUUAAAAUUAGUGAUAUAUACCUACUACGGCAUUUGGGAAAGAAUCUUGAAAACAGAAUUAGCCCAAAAAAUUUUGAAAACAGAAUUAGCCAUAGUCUUGUUUGAACGGACUAUGUUCAGAAAUAGGACUAUGUUCAUUUAACAUUUAUGUACUCCCUAGGUUUCCUAAUGUGGCUUCAAGCAUGGAAAGUAUACUAUACCGAAUCUGAUCACUAUUGAUAAUAAUAGUAAAUGUAUAUCAAAAAAACCAAUUCAAGAAAGAAGCGGCAUGACAAAGGAAUCCAAGUGCUGGUAUUCUCAGAUCAAUUAAUACAACAGUUUCUUAAUGUUAAGUUAUAGUUGUUAGAAGAGCAGUGCGAUUCUUUGCAAA
This 68947-nucleotide long non-coding RNA is filed under the name Daucus carota (carrot). RNAcentral's name for it is "long non-coding RNA (DCAR_LNC003312)". Lineage: Eukaryota; Viridiplantae; Streptophyta; Magnoliopsida; Apiales; Apiaceae. The record is from RNAcentral.